Molecule: long non-coding RNA, 59844 nt
Filed under: Eucalyptus grandis
Lineage: Eukaryota; Viridiplantae; Streptophyta; Magnoliopsida; Myrtales; Myrtaceae
Description: long non-coding RNA (EGRA_LNC004270)
Source: RNAcentral
CAUGUCGGUCAGAGCACACUGCUCGUAUUUUUUCCUCAUUUUGAUCAUAAACAGGCAAGACCCCGCUGAAACAACCAGCAUUAGACUUGCUAAAGGGGCAGUGAUAAAUGUGAACAACCUAUAGAUUUUGUAGUGUGCCCACUUCACGGGUGAAUUGGUCGACGGGAUGGGUGAAUUGGUCGACGGGGGGCGUACAGCAUCCAAGUCCGAAGUAAACCCCCAUGAAUUGAUGAUGUGUCUCUCCCCAACGCCGCCACAAGAAGCUGAAAUGCCAAUUGCGACCGAUUCAGGAGAGCAAGGUCGAUUGGGUAAGAAAGCGAGGGGCUUUUCUUGUCCAAAGAAAUCGGGUCUCCAGCAAACGACCAGAACACACUAAGAUUCUUGCCAGUAGAAUUAUAGGUCACCACGACAUUAGUUGCAUUUCCGCUGUGUGAUUUGAUAUCCCACUGGGAAUGAACAAUUGAAGAGAUCGAGUUUAUGUUGAUUCCUAUGUGCUGCUCUGGCGGGUCAUAUUCUGGGUUCGCAGAAGUAUCGAACUCAACCGUCACAAUUCGGUUCCGAGGCCCAUCAUUGACUGUGCUGGCAUUGAACAAUCCGAGAAGAUGACCAGCCGAGUUGGGUGGGAUUGAAAAGCCAGUAGGAGCAAGAAAAAGGGCCAGGCCGUCACUGUAUUGGUUGGGAUUGAAAGGUUCGAUGGUGAAAGAAAAAUGAGUAGAGAAGUCUGCUUGUCUCCCAGUAAUAGGAUCUCUAAUAUAGAUGGGUUUGGAAUACUGAAUGCGGCCUACCGUAAAACGCUGUUCUCCGGGGGCUUGUGGGGUGAGAUCAAUGAAGCCAUACGCCAUUGCCGCAACUCCUUCGUAGAGUAUGUCAUCUGCGUUGUCGUCAAAGUUACUUAUAUUGAACUGGACGGGACUGACAUAGGGGAUAAUAGGGUAGCAGACAAGGGAGAAGACAAUUAAGUGAGCGUAAAAAGAAAGAGAACAACAGUUCGCAUGCUGCAUGCUACACAUGGUUUUUACAAGUGCAAGGACGAGGUUCAUGCUCGUUUGUCCAUUGGUCUAGAUCGGUGCUAUAGCGGGUGCUUUAUAGUGGACCAAAUGUUCCAAACAGCGGCUUGGACAUGGUGAAAAGAUCGACAAAUUCUCUGCUGUUUCCGCUAAAGACUAUAUGGACAAGGGAGACUUCUGAAGCAAUGACCCAAUUUUUGGAAGUCGCUACUCAUAUUGAAUUGAACGGAACUGACAAAGGGGAUAAUAGGGUAGCAAACAAGGAAGAAGACCGUUAAGCGAGCAUGAAAAGAAAGAUAACAACAGUUCGCAAGCUGCAUGCCAGAUCGGUGCUAUAAAGGUGUGCUUUAUAGACCAAAUGUUCCAAACAGCGGCUUGGACACGGUGAACAAAUCGACAAUUUCUCUGCUAUUUCCGCUAAAGACUAUAUGGACAAGGGAGACUUUUAAAGCAAUGACCCAACUUCUGGAAGUCGCAAGCUGCAUGCCAGAUCGGUGCUAUAAAGGUGUUUAUAGACCAAAUGUUUCAAACAGCGGAUUGGACACGGUAAACAUAUCGACAAUUUCUCUGCUAUUUCCACUAAAGACUUAUGUAGCACUUACACGCGAUACGCAACACAUGACGCGACACGUCAUUUUUCAAAAUGUAUAAAAUUUCAACACGUUCCGACACGUUAAAUAUUAAAUAAAUAUUUUUAUAUAUACAUAUAAUUAUUUCAAAAAUAAAGAGUAUAAUCAAUUUAUUUAAAUAAAUUUAUAAUUUUUCAUGGUGAUCAUAAUUUAUUAUUAUUCAACAUUAUUCAUUUUUUUCUUUUUUGAAAUCACCCUCCACCCUCUCCCUCCAAAAAAAGAAAAAAAAAGGACAAAUCCCGCCCAGGAUGAGCAUCCCAUUUUAAUUUUUUUUUUGGCUCUUCAUGGCACCAUCAUUUUUUUUUCCAGCUCUUUCUUAAAAUCCCAAAUACUAGCUACGUACUAUUCCCCCUAGACGCGUCCUCCUUGCACAGUAUCUCAUUUUUAAAUUUUUUUCUACCCUCUUUGGAAACCCAAACCUAGCUGCCUCAUCCUCCUUUGACUCCUCUUUAUGGCACCCCCUCCUUGGAAAACUAAAUCGUAGCCUCUCCCUCCUUCUGUGCUCAUCCUCCUUGUAUGGCACCCAUUCUUUAUCUUUUAGAAACCCUUCAAAAGCAGCCUUGAAAACUCUCGGAAAACGCCGCUCCCUCCUCCGUUGCACAAUCCUCUUCCUCUUAAUCCCUACUCUCUCUUGGUCACCUCGUUGCAGGUUGCAGCUGCUCGCUGCCUUGCCUCUGGUCCUCUCUCUUUUGUAGUCGUAGCCUUGUCUCCGGUCCUCUGUCGCGGCCAUCUCCGUCACAUGGUUCUCUCUUCCUCCAGCCUUCUAUCACCGUCGCGGCCUCACUGCUGCUGCCUCGCCUCCGCAGCCUUGCUUCCUCUUCCUUGCCUCGUCUUUACCCUCCAUCGCCAACGAUUCACUCUCCCUUCACGCUUGCAGAUCCGCUCUAGAAACCUAGCCUCUUGCUCGGACACGCUCCGAUUCACGUGUCGAGAAGAGUUGACCACGUGUCGGAAAAUCCAACACGUGUUGACCGCGUGUCCGAGCGUGUCGGUGUCCGACACGACACAGAAGGUUCCCGAGCAUGUCCGUGCUUCAUAGCUAAAGACUAUAUGGACAAGGGAGACUUUUAAAGCAAUGACCCAACUUCUGGAAGUCGCUACUUAUAGUGAACUGAACGGGACAGGCAAAGGAUAUAAUAGGGUAGCAAACAAGGAAGAAGACCAUUAAGCGAGCGCGAAAAGAAAGAGAACAAUAGUUCGCAUGCUGCAUGCUCCGCAUAAUUUAUACAAGUGCAAGGACGAGGAUCGUGCUCGUUUGUCCAUUGGUCUAGAUCGGUGCUAUAAAGGUGUGCUUUAUAGUGGACCAAAUGUUCCAAACAGCAUUUUGGACACGGUGAAUAGAUCGACAAUUUCUCCACUGUUUCUGCUAAAUACUAUAUGGACAAGUGAGAUUUUUGAAGCAAUGACCCAAUUUCUGGAAGUCUAUGCUCAAGAUAUUUAGAGAAAAAAAACAAUACUUGGAUGGAUAGUCCAGAGAAUUGUAAAAAAUAUCAAAGAUAUAUCUAGAAGAGUUUCCAAUAAAAUCUAAGAUAUUUUAGAAAAGUCAUGUGAAAUGUGGAAGUUCAUGCAAGUUGCCGUAGAUUUUUUUAAUCUUGAAAAGGCCGUGGAAGAGGGCUAUAAACACCCAACCCCUCCUCACUUGAAGGUCACGUCCAGCAGGAGAAAACUAAGCCUUUGCACAUGCCUUCAUGAUAUAAAACUCCUCUUGUCCUCUUUUGCUCCCUACUUUCCCUUCCACUAUCUUCCAUCUCCAAUAUAAUAAUAAAAGUCCUUGUUCCGUAGUUGCUUGUUAAGUCUACGCACUUAUUUGAUGGCUACAGUUUUUCAAAAAUGAAAUUGAAUACCUUGUAUGAUCAUUAUUUAAUCUGCCAAACAUCAAUAAUGAUCUUUGAUUUCAUGAACAAAACUUUUCACUUAUGUUAACUUUCCCAUUUAAUCGUUGUUGAUAGAUGAGAAUGCUGGGAGUGUAUAGCAGAAGCCUAAUAUGUUCUUUCAGGAAAAUUACCAAGAGAAAGCCUAAAUCCAAGCAUGUCAAUAUAUCCAGUUGGACCUACUUUUACGCAAAAGCUAAGCUAAUGAAUUAUAAGCCAACUAGGAUAUAUUAACUGUUCCACACCAUAUCAAUUCUUCGAUAUGGAACUUUUCUAACACAAUGCACUCACAUGUGCAUUCCAAUAAUCUCCCCCUCACAUGUGUGAGCUCGGUGUUAGCCCGCUCCCCUUUAAUUUAGGUGUCUUUUUGCAUCACUUAUGGACAUGUGUUAUAACACCACAAUGCCAACCUGCCCAAAAAUCACAACCAUCGAAUCUGAUAUCAUUUGUUGGAAGCGCGUAGCAGAAGCCUGAUACCUUAUUUUGGGGAGAUCGCCAAGAGGGAGACCAAAUUCAAGCCUAUCAAUAUAUCGGUUGAACCCACUUUCACUCAAAAAUUUAAAUUAAUGAGUCAUGUGCCAAUUAAGAAAUAUUAACAUGAUGCGCAAAAGGUAUCUGACGCCAGAGGUCAUUUGUAUCUCGAGAGUUUAUCUGAUGGAAACAAAUCUGUCAAUCUUCUAAAGGAUUUCAUUGUGGGUACUUACGAUGACAAUAUUAUAAUAUCGCAUAUUGCUACUGAAAUCCGGUAUAACAAAGAGAAAUCCAUGGAAAAAAAAAAGAUGAAAGGGAAUUUAGCAAGAUCAUCUUUGACUAUAUAUUGUAUCUGGUACUUAAUCAAUCUAAUGUGAUGUCCGUUGUGGUAGGCAUUGCCCAAAUCACAAUAGGGGUGACGUUGGGGGAGUUACUAGAAUUACUCCACAUGAAUGAUGCAACCCGGGAUGUGGAGAAGCUAUGCAAGCAAUUGUUUGAGAAAUCUGAAGAAUCAUUGAAAGAUGUAUACCAUUCGAAAUCCAUGCUCAGUCAGGGGACCGAUUUAGCUAAAAAGAUGAAAGAGCUCGGGGAAAUGAAGUGGAAGGUGAUGAGCGGAGUAUGGGUUGAGAUGCUGUCAUAUGCAGCGGUUCAUAUUAAGGGAGAAGUACAUGCGCAGGUGCUUAACAAAGGUGGAGAGCUUCUUGCUUUCAUUUGGCUGUUGAUGGCUCAUUCCGGUCGUGUCUACAAUCCUCAUUUGGGCAACUUUUAUGCCCGCUCUGAUUAGAGUGAGUAAUAGAUUCGCGUCAACUAUCUGAUUGACCAUCCUCAUGGCUUGCCUACUGGCGUUCGGACAAAUACCAGUUAAUAGACUGUGAAUCAUUCGACUAAUGCCAAAAAUGGAUGGAUUUUCAUUAGAGGGCUGUGCAGCACUGUCCAGACCGUGGACAGCGAGCGUUCAGUCUUGUUUGGUUCAUUCGACGAGCACCGGGCCAACCCUCAGGGGUUCCCGUGGCGAUGUGGUUUUUCAAUAAUAUUAAGCCAAUUUCAAGUCCUAAUGACACACGACACGCCUGCUACCAGACUUCAUGCAUGCUUAAUAGGGGACGUUUGGUGGGCCUUUGUAUGGGUAUUGCAUCUUUGAGGUGUCUCGGGUUGGCUUUGCAAAGAUGCAUCGAAGCCUUUUAGUAGUCAUUUCGGUGUCGUUUAGCACAUGGAGUGGCAUCCACCGCACGCUGUCCAGACUUAAGACAUGCUGCGUAGGGGAUGCGUCGUGGCCAAUUGGCUUUGUUUUGUAUCCUCGACGAGUCUCGGGUUAGCCUUCAUUAGUCCUUGUAGGUACUUUCCCGUUGCUUAAUAAGAAGGCGAUGUUUAAUGUUGCCCGAUGCGUCUCGGGUUGUGGUGCACUUGCUUUGAUAUUAUCAUAUCUUGCUUGGAUGUUGUCUUGCUUAAAUCUUGUUGUAUGAGCAUCUUUGCAUGAUCAUUUAGACAUACAUGUCUCAGGAAAAACAAAAAAAUAUGUGUGAAAGAAUGCAUAAAACUAAAUCCCCAAAUGAGCUAAGCUAACAAACUGUUCAUUAGGUAAUAUAUUUAGUAUAGUCAAAUCUCCGUGUCCUGAAUUUUUUACUCACAAAAAUAAAACAAAAAUUAAUCCCACAUGUCGGAAACUCACAUGUCGAAAUUCCAAUUCGAGUGUUGGAGAAUUCGAGAAAGUUAAUUAGAUGUCGGAUUUUUCGACACAUGCUAACCAAGUGUCGGAGAGUUUCCAAAAGUAUCGAAAAGUAUCGGAUAUGUGUUAAAAUGUCCGACAUGAUACGAAUAAGCGGCGGUGCUUCCUAAAUUAUGGUGUUGCGAUAUUUGGGAUGCUAUAGGUGGGAGGUGAAGAAGGGGUUGGUCGAGCUUUUUCUUUUUUACGAGUUUUUCCCCUAGUAAAUUUUAAGUUAGUAAUUGUGUUUCAACUCCAUAAUUUGAAUUAAGAUAUUCAUUUUUCGAAUUUCUUCGUGAAAUUCGUAAGUACAAGGAUGCUACUAUUCAACCACAAGAGAUUUAUACUUAUUGGUGAUGUCCUUCAUGACAAAUUCUAUAGCUAGUUUUUUCUUCUUCUUUUUUCAGAAAAGGAAUUUCCUUCUUUUUUUUUUUUUUUGCCUCGACCAUAGUUGAGAUCCGAUGAAGAUUAUUAUUAUAAAAAAUUACUUAUUAUUAUUAUUAUUAUUAUUAUUAUUAUUAUUAUUAUUAUUAUUAUUAUUAUUAUUAUUAGGACAUGCAGUCCAUCUCUCUAAUAUAAUGUCCUAUUCAUGGCGCAAGCACCACGUUUUGUGUAAGAAAAAAAAAUUCCAAUAUAUUUGUUUUUACUAUAAUUCAUAUAAUUUAUCAAAAAAAUUUCUGUUAAAACAAUAAUUUCUGCUAUAAUUCAUGUAGUCCAACGUCCCUCCAAUACCUUUCCAUCCCCAUGAUGGCGUCCCUCCACCGAACGCUCUCCAACCGUCUCCUCUCCAAGUUCCCUCCUUUCCAUCCAUCAUGGCCUCGCGCCGCCCGGUUCUCCGCCGCGGCGGACGGCGGCGCCCCCGCUCCGCCAUCCUCUGCCGCCGCUCCCCCGCCGUACGAGAGCUCUCCGCCCAUCGAUGCCGGAUCGUCGAUCCGAAAGCCGAUCAGCCUGUGGCCCGGCAUGUACUUCUCCCCUGUCACCAACGCCCUGUGGGAAGCGAGAUCGAAGAUGUUCGAGGAGGUCGGCGGCGCCGGGGCGAGCGGGAAGGCGGCGCCGCCGCUGCCGAGCGAAUUGGUCCCGAGGAGCCCGGCCAGGAGCAGGACGAGCAUUUUCUACAAGUUCUCGAGCGAUUAAGUGCUCAGGGAGCAGUACAGGAAUCCUUGGAACGAAAUCAGGAUGGGGAAGCUGGUGGAAGAUCUCGAUGCUCUCGCCGGGACCAUUUGCUACAAGGUAAAUGAACGAGCUUUGAACGACUAUCGGAUGGUGAUGCCUUGAUUCCUCUUUCUGAAUGCUGUGCCAUUUAUGCUCUGCGAUGUUUUUCAUGCUAAAGCUUUCUCGAUGCAUAUUCUAUGGUCUUUUUCUGCGGAAAAUGAAUUGCAUAUGACGUCAAUGACGGUGCUUUGUUGUAUUCCUGAUAUAAGACUGACUUACGGCGGUGCUUAGUUGGCGGGCGAUCAGUUCUCGUAUUCUGCGAUUAGUAGUUUGAAUGUCAAGCCCUUGUUUGAAUAAUCUAGAAUCGGUCAUCUGGUAUAAGAGAGAAGUUCAUUUCUUAGACGAAAAGAUUGAACAACACGCUACUUAUUUGUUGUAAGCAGUACCUUGUCUCUAUCAUUUGUAUAAGAGCAUGUCUAAUUUCUCAUCAAUCUUUGUCCAUAUCAGGUUCUGCGAUCAGAGGCUUAAUGUUUAAGUUCUCAAAUGAUCGGUUGUAGCUUAUAUAGUGUGGAAUUCAUCAAUAAAAUUGUGUGUGACAGGACAUCCGCCUGUUGUAUUUAGCCUUUUUCUUUUGGACCGGCAUUCCUCCAAGUAACUGCUUCUGUAGACAGGAUGGUUCUCAAAAGGCCAAUCCGUAUUGAAAUGGACUUGCAAAUAGCGGGAGCUGUUACAUGGGUCGGGCGUUGAUCAAUGGAGAUCCAACUGGAAGUAAGUCCACAGAAGGUGUUAUAUGAAACAGUGCUUCCAAAUGACGAUAGUAUGCUACUUUCUUUCCUAGAGUUGAUGACAUUGCUUUGUUGGCUUAUUGGACGAGAACAUACAUUUCCAUCUGCUGCCACUAAGCAGUUGCAGGAGUCGCGUUACUCCUGGUCCCAAAGGAUGGUGUCACACUGAUGGCCGUGCCUUAAGUAUAUGUUUAUUCUACACAAAGCAUACUUGCUCUUGCAUGAUUUCGUUUCUCCUUGUAAAAAUUGUGGAGAAAUUUGCUAAUUUGCUACCAAUCCACCAUUCCGUUAUUACCAAAAGUAAAUAAAUAAAAUAGUAAACCCGUCCAUACUAUGGAGAAGCUUGCUAAUCAACAUCCUCUUGCCAAGAAGUGUUGGUUUGUCAAGGUUUUGACAUGUUAGUCAAUCACAAUAUUUAGAUAUCAGAUCUUCAUAAAGUUAUUCUUUCCACGAUAUAACCUUAUGAUUGAUCCAUUCUGCUGUUUACUUUAAACUGGUAAUUUCAUGCAGAAACCCAGGAUUCCUCAGAUUCAGUUGCACUUGCUGCCAAUUUCACGUUUCUGGCUCUCGUGAUUCUAGAACUGGGAAAUCAGCACCAGUUAACCCUAUCUCACCGGAGACAGAGAGAGAAAAAUUACUCUGGCAAGAGGCAGAAAAUAGGAUUAUAAUGAGGAAAAAGAAGAGAGAAGAACGUAACAGAGAUACUUAGGUAGGGGACUCGUCCAGGCUCCAGGCUUUACUUGCCGAAGGUCGUAUCUUCUGUGAUAUGCCAGCUUUGGCAGACAGAGAUAGCAUUCUGAUGAGAGAUACUAGUUUUGAGAACUCGUUAAUAUGCCAACCACAGCGAAGGAAUAUCCAUGGGAGAAUAUUCAGAGGAUUUUUGAUGCGAAAGGCUUUUGAGUUGGCCUUUUCAACCUCAUAUGCCUUUGCUGGCGUGGCACCGCGGUUCCUUGAAGUUGACCAUGUUGAUUUCUUGAGACCGGUGAGUACUCAUCCUGCGCAUGAUGUAUUUGUAUGUGUAGGUGAUGCUGUUGCACGACUUAGCUGCUGAGUGUGGAACCGUGGCAAUCAGCAGCGAUGGUCGCACUUGUGCCUUCACUCUUGCAAUCUGAUGUAUGAGUAAAAUUAUGGAUCUGUUAAGUGGAAGAUCAUAAUAUGAAGGAUACUAUUUUUGGGAUGUUGGUGGAUGUUGGUAAUUUUCUCCGCCUCAAAUGCUGCAUCCUGUAUACGUAGUUUGACAUUCCAGCUGAACCCCCGAUAGAUGUCGAAGUUGUGGCCCGUGUGAUGCAACCUGGGCUCAGGUCAAGCGAGGCACGAGCGGCCCAUGUGUGUUACAUUUUCUUUUAGCAAAUUUUAUUAUCAUUCCGCUCCUCUGAUCGUGCAUAAUCAAAUUCUAACGGAGAAACAAGAAUGAAUUGGUCACCUAGUUGGGGUCACUAAAGUCUGCCCCUAAUAGUCAAGAAUGAACCCCAUAAUGAAAUGAAUUUUUAUGAAGUCAUUGUAUGAGAACAAAGUGGUUCAGGAAUGGUGGAUUCUAGUCUGUUACAAAUGCGGUUUGUCUGAAUACAUGGCAUUGAAAAUUGAUGCUUGAAUGCAAUUCACCUUCUUCAUAAUUGCGACAGCAUUAAGCCAAUUGGCAAUACACAGAUAGAGAGCCAGAUACAUACGACGACUUGCUAAAUUAGGAAGAACUAGGGCAUUUCAAAGCCCUCGUCAAGCAAUUCACAAAUGGAAUUCAUGAGAUGUAGGAUUAUCAUCGGUCAGAAUCACAAAUCAGCUCUAAAAUUUGGAAUAUGUUCACUUUUCCACAAUUCUAGAGCGGGGUUAACCUGCAACCAAGAAUGUAACCAUCAAACAUUAUAUCUACAUACUCGAACAUGCAACGUUACAUAGCACCAUCAACACUAAGCCCCAACGGCCUGAGUCCGCUUUGAAGUGCUGAUGUACAGAACUGCUGUAAGUCAUGCUAGUUAAAAACAGUCGAAGUCAGCAAAGAUAAGACUAAAACAUCAGAAAUGUUGGAUACAUCAUUACCGUUAUUUCCUCAAAUAAAAGCAAUGCCAUACUUGUUUUUCAGCUGCCGCUGACGUACUCUUCCGUCUGUCCCAUUGUUAUGUUCAUAUAUUCAGCCGGGCAGGCUAGAAUACCUGCAUAAAACUCCAACCCAUUACAACAUAUAAGAACACCACACAACUUCAGGGAGCACAAGAUUGUGGUUCUGGACUAAUCAUCAGUAUAGCCUGCAUGUAGCAUGGGAAGGAGAACAUGCUUGUAAGGAACAUUUCAGAUUAACUAAUUUAGCAUCAUCCUACUCACCUUUCCUCCAGGUCUCACGCCACAAGCACUAAGGUUUACAAAACUACUAGAAGUUGACAAAAAAAAAAAAAAAAACUUGGUCAAGGCGCAUAAAGCGCACACUCCAGCCUUUUCUCUAUCAGAUUUACUACAAAUUGUAAAUUGAGAAAGCUCAACUGAGAAAACGACGGCAUAAAAGGGUAUUGCCUAUAAUAAUGCUCUCAUUUUCAUGAUAUCGGAAUUGAUCAAAUGGCUUUCAAACCACCAAAUCUUAAUUCCAUCUAAGUUCACUAAUUUAUCAUCAAAGAGCCCGCUUCUCCCCUUCUUUUUCUCUGCGCUUGUUCUCCUUCCCUCUCUCUCUCAACACCUAAAAGAAAAAAGAAAACUAUGAAGUUUAAAGCCAGGCUUCUUUUCUUAUUCUCAUGCCAUCAAAGAAAGGUUUGUUUGUAUCUUGUAAUUGAAUAGCGGCAUGUAUGUGCAAGAUCCUUGUUUAUGAAUUGAAUGGCAUAAGGAUGUCCUGUUGGCCGAUGUUUGAGUUUGAAAGGCAUUGAUAACGUUGUGAAUACUCACAUCUGUCACGUGUGCAUAUUCUGGCUAUUAUUUGCACUAAUUGUGACUUGUGUGGAUUUGUAUGCCUUGAUUAGGACUCGAGGGAUUUAGAUUGAGGUUACAUCCCUUCAUGUUAUAGAUAAUGCAAAGCGAAGGCUUUACUAUUGAUCUGCUAUCGACAAUUAAGCUCCACGUAUAGGGCAUGUCUGAGGCAAAGUACUCUCUUACGCGAGGUUUAAGAAGUUUACUUACUGAGUUUAUCUCACUCGUUAUUGUUUAAAUUUUUCAGGCCCUAAUCAUGACUAGCCCUUUCUGUCACGUGCACUUCAAGGUGCCUGUCGAUCAAGACACCCAGAUGGUCCCCUACCCAAUUGAGGGGAUUGACGUGGCACACGAGAAGUACAUGACCACUAUCUGGGUGGACGAGGGGCUGACAUAUUUGGUGCCCCAUUAAUUCGUAGCAUGGUACGUCUGGUUCGAAGGAGAGUUCUUCGGCCCUCUCUAGGGUUUUGACAAGCUACCAGGUAAGGGACCCGGGGGUUCCAUCUGGGACCCCAUGGUCAUGGACAUCCUCAACGCCAUCGUCACUGACUCGGAGACGAACUUGGAUCUGGAGUCCAACCCGAAGCCUGAGCCCGAGCUCAAGCCAUGGUAGUAUGACGUGGACGCGUACUAGACGUGUAGGGGAUAUCACUUUUUGAGGUCACUCUCGUAAAGAAGAGGAGCUAGGCUUGCCCCGAGACCCUUUUGACGAAUCGGAAAGGAUCUACAUCGCGUAAAUGAAAAUUCCAAUGUGCUAAGUUGAUGUGUGUCUAUAUAUAUAUAUAAGUUUUUUUAUGUGUUUCCAUGCUAUCUAUCUAUCUAUCUAUAUAUAUACAUACAUACAUACAUACAUAUAUACAUACAUAUAUAUAUAUAUAUAUAUAUAUAUAUAUAUAUAUAAGUUUUUUUAUGUGUUUCCAUGCUAUCUUUAUUGAUGUAUAUAAUUGGGUGGAGUUAAUUCUUCGCUUGUGUAUAAUUGAAAGAUCAAAUGAAAAGAUCGGUAAUGCCUCCUGAGACGUCGCAAUUAAAUGACUAAAGGGAAGAUUGGUUGCCGCGCAUCAAAGAGUCGGGGUGUGACACUCUAUGCUGAUUUCCUAUACAGCAAGAAAAAAUUCUACACUGUGAUUUCCACGGGAAAGGGAAAGUAAACUCUUUGGCUAAAGCAAAUAUUUCCAUUUUUUUUUUUGGCUGAAGCAAAAUUUUCCAUUUUUUUUUGGCUAAAGCAAACAUUUUGGCAGAAUGUCUUCAUGGUUGAAUUAUGAUCACAAUUGAGUGAAAGGACAUUGUCAUUAUCUUGGUUGAAUAAAACCAUGGCAUUUGGCUCCGUUCUAGAUCCAUGGAACAAACUGAACAUUUGAGACUUCAUCAUAUACUCGCUUUGGGUCUUUUUGAGCUUUGGCUCCAAAAAAAUUUAUUCCUUGGCUCACGUCUUAAUUGGAACCAUGGUAUUAGUAGGGUAUACAUGGACUCAGAAUAUCCCUUUUUAAGGCGGACCUUCUCGUGAUGAGUUCUUUAAAUACUAAGAUGAACUUUUCUAAGAAAGGAUUUCAGAUGUUUAGUAUUUAAUAUUACUCUUUCUCACAUUCACUUUAUGUUAGACAACUCAAAAUGUCACAUUUACCAUUGGAAAUGUUCAUUGUGAAUAUCAAACACCAAGGAGAUGGAGAUGGGCCGCUGCCACGGCCUAGACAACCUUGAAAACCUCUAUAUAUUCAGAGUGCAGGGGUAAAUAUCCCCAUUUGUUUUGGAAGAAAAGAGAUUGAGCAGUCCAAUCAUGCGAAAGAGUGUAAUGGACUCAAUAAUGUGAUUUUUUUUCGUUAAGUCCAUUCAAUUUGACUAACGAAAAAUAGUAGCAUGCUUUCUUAUUAUUUUCUCUUUCCUACGUGGUGUUAAGGUUAACUAAAGCACUAAAACAAUGUCGUUUUGAUCCAAAUUCUAAUUUUUACACCAAAUUUUAAUUAAAUUAGAUUAAAAAAUUCAAGAGUUUUUCUAAAAGAAAAGGACGAACUAAAAUAAAAAGUCUAAAAGUUAAUUUACAAAAAAAAAAAAAAAACACCGGCAGGAGGAGAGCCAGCUUCCAUUAAAACAACUUUAAUUGACGUAAUAAUUUGAGUGGCAUAAUUCAAUGUCACGUAUUAAUAAUAGUGGGUAAUCGGUAUGAUUAAGAACUUACCACCAAUCUAAAUAUACAGAGUCUGUCCAGAGAGAAAAGUCUAAUGGAGAUUAUGUUAAUAAAAAGAAGAGACAAUACCAAAAUUUAGUCCAUACAAUCUUAGUCAAUGUUCAACUUGGUUCGUAAACUUAAAUUUUGGUCAAAUUGAUCCUUGUGCUCUUUGAUGCAAAUCAAAUUGUGGUUUUAUAUGGUUCUGUAAACAAGGAAUGUCUAAUCUGAUUAUUGGUUUGUCAAAUAAUGUUGAUUUUCUGAUUUUUCAGCUCGAUGUACCAUUAUUAAGCAUGCAAACCGCCCUAUGAAUGUGUAUUAAUUAUAAAGAAUUGUAUGAGUCCUUCACAAAAUGGUUGGCUCAAUCCUAAGAUUGUUCCAAGGGAGAAGUGCUGGAUCCGAACAUGACUCCAUCAUAUCUCAACCAAAUGUCGUUGAGUAUAAUAUGAUUUUGUUAAUUCUCAAUCCAAACAUUUUGUCCGAUAUUUUGUAGAAGUAUUGAGUUCUUCGACUAGGUUAAUCUAUUUUAGAUUGAUGUAAAAUCACUAGAUAUAUCAAUGAGAGUAGUUUAUACGCAAUUAUUAAUCUGAACUAUCUAAUUCGUAAUUUUUUUAUACUCGAAGGGGUAAGGUAACUAGCAUCCAUAAUGAUCAAUUUGGUCUGUUCCAUGGCCGGUUUGACUUGGUUUUCGGAUAGAAUUGGACCCGUUGCAUAACCCUAAUUGUCAUUAUCAUUAGAAAAAUGGUUAGCUCACAACUUCUUUUACCUUCUUGGUAUUUUGAAUACAUACUGUCUUCCGAUAAAUAAGCAAGGAACCAUCAAUAUGUAUAUAUACAAAUUUUGUUGUAAUCCCGUUAAAUCACCCAAGAUUUGCUGGGAGAGAGAGGGGAAAGGGGGGGGGGUCUAAGGUGGGUUUUGCGAAACAAUUGGUUCGAUUAGUUACUUGAAGUAAAUGUUCAACGUCACAUGUUAAUGAAAUAUGCUGAUAUGGAUCUCAUAAAAUCAAUCUCAAACGGAGAAAAUUUUACAAUUAAGUUUCUUACAUGUCGUUAUUCACUAUGGAGUACUCGCUAUGGAUAGAAAUUUUAUUUUUCCGGUUUAGUUACCAUGUGCAGAAUGUUCAUCCACGUAACCUAAGCUGCUAAUGGCGAUUUUAGAAUUAUUUCCAUAGAAAUUCAAAAAAUGACAAGAAGAACAAGGAAAUCUUGGCUUUUGACGGAUAUGGAGAAUUUACCUUUAAUUUCUUAAUCUACAAUGAUCUCAAAUGAUGGUUUGAGGAAGUAAAACGACAUUAAUUAAUAUUUUUGCAUGUUUAUUUUCUUAUAGCUCUUGCAAUUUAAGAAUUUUCCAUAUUAAAUAUUUAAAAGAAAGGUAAAUAUCACAAAAAUAUCUUAAACUAAUACAUUCAUGCCACAAUUACCCCAAAUUAAUAUUUGUGUCACAAAAACCAUCAAACUAGUACAUUUGUACCGCAUUUACCCAAAAUUAGUUUUUGUGUCAUAAAAAUCCCUAGACUAGUACAACUUGCCACGUUCUCAUGCCACAUUUACCUCAAAUUGUGGUAAAUCCGAAUUUGUUUUUGAAUAAAUGUGACAUGGAUGUACUAGUAUAGAAUUUUCAUGUCACAAAAUUAAUUUGGAUUAUAUGCGACAUAACUGUAUCAGUUUGGAGUAAUUAUGACACAUAUGUACUAGCCUAAGAGUUUUUACAGUACAAAAAUUAGUUUUGGGUAAAUAUAGCACAAGUGUAUUAGUUUUGGGUUUUUUGUGAUAUUAAACCUUAAAAUAACUUGAAAACAUACUAGAAUAUCCUAUAAAAGGCUCUUUUUUUUUUACCCAAGGAAACCCCGUACGCCAACAGCGCGGCGAGGCAAACCCUAGGGAGGACACGUAGAAACCACCACCACGUUCCCCCAGGUAAGGUGCCCAAAUGCGACGCCCGAGAAUCGAACUCCUUCCCGUGCGUUAGGGGGAGAAGCUCGCCGUCAACAGUGCCACCCAAACGGGUGGUUCCUAUAAAAGUUUCAAAAUGACAAUUGAGUUCUAAUUUUUUUUUUUUUGUUUUCUCAAUUGAGUCCACCUAAUCAAUAUUAACCGGAAAUUAUUGAUGUGGAUGCUGGUAAUACCACAUAGAGCCGUCAGCAUUGACAUGGACAAUUUUUUAAAAAGAAAAUUGAAUUUCUUUUUUCUUUUAUUUUUCUACCAAGUUCGUGAGGGCCGCAAUAAUGAGGGUUAUGGUCCUCACCCACACCUCACAAAAGCUGCAAAUCCCUCACUGAUCAUGCGCAAGGGUUGUGAAACCCUCCUUGGUAGCAAUCAUGGGCUUCAUGGCCCUCACCUAAUGGCUAGCAAGGGUUGACUAGCCGUCGCCCAAUGGUCGACAAAGGUUGGCCGUGACUCUCGUUGGGCUUGGAAGGAAAAAAAGGAAUAGAAAGAAAGAAAAAAUAAAAUAAAAUAAAAUAAAAUAAUUAUAAAAAGUAUUCAUGUUAGUACCGAUCAUACCACGCAGAAUGACCAUCAUCCUGUCGGUAAUUUCUGGUUAAAAUUGAUCGGAUUGACUUAAUUGACAAAAUGUGAAAAGUGUUUAAGACUCAAUUGAUAAAAUUAAAAUGUUUGAAAUUGAACUAGUAAAAAUACAAUAAGUUUAAGAUUUUUUAAACAAUUUUUCAUGGAUUUCCAUCAUUUUGCAAAGCUUAAAACAUCAGCUUGAUUUCAAAUUUUGCAAGGAAAACAGUAAAACCUUUUAAGUAUAGUUUUGGUCCUGAGCAGGACCUUAAAAGGCUCAAGGGAAGUAACGGGUGGGAGAACUGCCCUGGGGUGGAAGACCCCGCGCUGACUCCCAUAAGGGCAGGGUUAAGGCCUUGAAAAAGAUUCCUAACCCCAUAGCUAAACCGGCCACAAUCCCUAUAUAGGAAACGGCCAGCUCACCUGACUCCCGCAACGCCUUCCCCUUUUGAAAUAGAAGGGGCGUGGUACAGGAGAAUGAUGGUGCUCAUCCAAAAGAAUGAUGGUACACCAGCUUGAUUUCAAAUUUUGCAAGGAAAACAAUAGAACCUUUUAAGUACAGUUUGAAUAAGCUAUUAAUUUAAGUAUUCUAAAGUUUUCACUACUGUCAUAGAAUGAUUAACGAAUGCAAAGGAACUCACCUACAGACAUCCGAUCAGUCAAUUUUGAAUGAAGAUGCAAGAGCUGUACAUCAAGUGUAGGACACCAACGUGAAGUGUAGGACACCAACGUGACUCUUAACUUUCUGCGAAAAUGUUUUACGACAAAAAAUGAGAAUCACAAACCACGUGAUUUCGUGCAAGUCCAGAACAUUGUGUGGGGACCUUGAAGAAAAAGGCAAAAGAAAAAAAGGAGUCAGGCUUAAGGAUUGAAGCAUUGGGAUGGUCACUUCUUGGCACAAAUUGCCUUGGUUGGACAUAGCCAUGCCUUCAUGGAGCGUCCCUUCAUGGAGCGUCCCACCGACAUUACCUCCCAUUUGGCUUUGUAUCAUCCACGGAUAAGGGUGUUAGGGAAAUCCCUUAUGAUGCUUUGAAGAUGACAAAAUAAAUCAAAGGCUACUAAUGUGUUUAAUGGUUGAGUAAUAGGCUAUACAGAUGAUAGAACGUGUAAAAGAUAUUAUCAAAUCUAUAUUUGGAAGAACCAGAAGAUAAACUCUAUGCUGAAGUAGAAUAUGUUCAGACUCGGAUUGUAAAGUCUAUUACACUCAGACUCAGAUUGUAAAGUCUAUGGCUCUUAGACUUUACAUCAAGAUUCAACAGAACGUAACUCAAGCCCAAUCAUAUAACGGCUAGUGAUCUGGUUUGGAUUCCACAUCAAGAUUGAUUUAAUUGACUAAAUCUAUUUGAUUGACAAUUGGAUCUUGAAGACAAGAACUUUCUAUACGAAGGAGAUUUACUUAUGGAAACCAAGAUUCUGUUUGUAUGGGCAAUCAGAAUCAAUUUGGGAUUCUACCUUUGUCACUCAACGGUUACUAAAUCUUCCAGAUACAGUGCUGUCAAAUGGGUAGAUUGGAAGACGAUCCUCAAGAUACUGUCCAAUGGCUAGUUUGGAAGUGGAGAAGUAUUUAAGGAGAUGAAAGACCGAUGAGCCAGUAAGAAGCGGAGCGUAGAAUUUAUAAUUCCAAAGUCUAAGCAACCUUCAAUCAUACACUUGUCUUUGGUGAGUUUAAACGUUUGUGAUCGUGAGAGAAAUACCAAAAGAGUGACUUAGUGAGAUAGUGUGAUCUAUUACUAAGUGUUUGCACUCAAAUUUGUAAUCUCUUGUUGAUUGUAUAGUGGAAUCCAGCUAAGAAGGCUGUUAGCGUGGAAGAGUGAACGCAGACUUGGAUUAAGCCGAACCACUAUAAACCUUGUGUUCUUAUUCUCUUCCCUAACUCAUUUGUUUUGUUUAAAGUUUAUUUUAUUCCGCAUAUAUUUGCCAAGAUUUAUUUUAAACACCUAUUCACCCCCCUCUAGGUGUUCAUACUAGCACUUUUAAUUGGUAUCAGAGCCAAGUGCUCGGUUUAUAAAAGUGUUUUUACUUUUGAGCUAAAGAUCUUUUAUGGCUAGUAUCUUGGCACCAGAACUUAUGGAGGGACAAAGCAACACAAGGCCACCAUAUUUUGAUGGAAAAGAAUACAAUGUGUGGAAGAACAAAAUGAAGGCAUCCUAAGAUCUCGAAAUCCCUUGCAAUGGGAUGUUGUGGAAAAAUGAAUCAAUCCCACUGCUGCAUCCUAAUCAAAUAAGAAUGGCAAAGACAAAGAAACCAAACCCACUGCUCCUAUGUCCCGGAUGGAGAUGUCCAAAAGAGAAGCGCUUGAUGCAAAAGUUAUUUAUUCUUUAUAUUGCGCAUUGUCUCCUGUUGAAUAUAACAGAAUUUCUUCAUGUGAAACACCAAAGGAAGUCUGGGAUAGACUUCAUGUUACAUAUGAAGGGACCAAUCGUGUAAAAGAAACAAAAGUAAACUUUAUGCUUGGCAAAUAUAAAUCCUUCAAGAUGAAGCAAUGAGAGUCGAUUGGAGAUAUGUUUAGCCGUUUUACAGAAAUUGUAAAUAGUUUAGCAUAUCAAGGUCAGCAAAUUUCUACCCCAAUUAAGGUCAACCAACUCUUGCAAGGUCUCUCAAAAGAUUGGAACAAUGUCAAGACCUCAAUCCGAGAGACUCAGAGAAUUAUUGCACUUUCCGUUGAUGAAUUGAUUGGCACUCUUCAAUCAACGAUGAAGAUCCCGAAGGCAAGAAGUCCAUUGCUUUAGUAUCUAACGCUGUUUUUGAUGAAACAGACUCAGAAAAUGACUUGGACGACGAAGAACUUACUUUUAUGAUCAAGAAAUAAAAAAAGUUGAGUAGAAAAGGAAGCAAAUUCAGUGGAAGAAGACAAUACUAGCAGAAUGGGCAGAAAAAAAUAAUGAAAGAAUAUGAUAAGCAAGGAAAUAUAUACUUAACAGCACAUUCAGAAUCUGAGUCUGACUCAGACACAAACUCAGAAUCAGAGUCUGACUUAGACACAGACUCAGAAUUCGAUGAGAAAAUCGAGGUAAGCCAGUCAAAAAUUCCUCUCAAAGUUUCAAAGUAUAUAAAUGAGCUUUGCUUAAAUCUCAAAUCUUCUUUUAAAAGGAUCUCCGAACUUAAAAAUGAGAAUUCUCGACUUAGGCAAUAGGAUCUUUCUCAAAAAGAAAAUUUUGAAAUUUUACAAAAAGAUUUUCUACAAACAAAAGAAAGUUGAGAUUUACUUGUCAAAGAAAAUGAUUCUUUGAAGAAAGAAUUUUCAAAUAUUUCGACAAGAUUUUCAAAUGGUUCAAAAACAUUAUAGCAUAUCUUUUCUAUACAAGUACCUUACUAUAAUAAGUUGGGACUUGGUUUCAAUAAGAAAAGUGAUUCUUUAAUUGAUUUUUCUAAAGUUAAGGAGAGACUUAGACAAAGACCUCCUAAACUUGCGUACAAUAAGCAUUUUCAAAAUAUCUUUACAAAACCUGUUGGUCUAAAUGCCCUCAAGUGUUCAAAUUGUGGAGAUUUGGAACACUUUGAGAAAGAUUGUCCUAAAGUUUGGAGACAUAUCAAGAAAGAUUGGAUAAAAACAGCAUACUCUACUAACUCUCAUGGACCCAAGAAAAAAUGGGUAAAAAAAAAAAAAAGAUGAGUUAUUUUUGCAGGAAAUAAAGAAAGAAAAGAAUGAGAGUUUGGUAAGGAAUGUAUAUUUUUUUAUUCUCAAUUUGGUUUGAGUACACAAUUUAAAAUUUCUCAUUAUGCUUGAUAUUCGAUAUAUCCUUGGUUGAUUGAGAUUUUAUAAUGAUCAUAUUCCUUGAUUUGUUUUAUUGAAGAAAGAAUCGCAUGAUUUGUUUUUGUGAUUCAAGAUUUGAUUUGAUACGUAUGAUCAUUUUUGAUAUCAUGCUUAGAGACAAUUGAGUUUAUUUGGUCUGAUUUUAUACUCUUAGAUUUUAUUAUAUUUUGUAUAACAGAAAUCUGUUUUACGUAAUAUUAAUUUAUUAUGCAAUAUAUUCUUAGAUACUCAAGGAUUUUAUUCUCUCUGUUUUUUAUCGUACUAUAACUAAGUGAGAAUUUAUUUUUCAAAAUAUCACCGUGCAUAAUAUUCUUUCUUUGAAUACUUUGUUAUGAUGAAUUAAAAAAGAAUAUUUGAUUAUGGAGAUUUUAUAUUUUGCUCUAACGUCAUGGAAGGAUCCAAAUUGACGGAUACCAAAAAGGAAAUGAGUUGAUUGUAGGAAAUUCAAUAAGGCAAAAAUGAUUGCAAAUCUACGUAGAUUUUGGUGCAAUAAGAAAAGGAUCUCAGGCAAAGAUUGGUAAUGAUUUUUUUUUUAAUCAAUGGUAUAUUUGAAACAUAUACCUGGGUAAGAGAAUAUUUUUUUAUUCCGCCUUGCAAAUUUCUACGUGCAUUUAUCAUGAUUUUGGAUGAUUGUUUAUUACAUUGCGAAUAUCUUUUGUUAUAAAUAUAAGGUAUUGCAAUUUUGGCACGUGACAGAAAUAUCUAUUUUCCUUUUGCAAAAUGCAUAUCUGAAAUUUAUGCUCAAGGAAAUAUCUUUGAUCUCGAAAGAUAUUACUACAUAUUCAUAGAUAUUCUUGCUAUAUUCUUAGAAGAUAUAUUAUAUCUAGCAAGUUUGAUCCACAAAUCAAAGGAAUAUAUUACAUGACAUUUUUGCAAAGAUGAUUAUCUAUUAUACAAGAUUUUGCAGGUGACAAUAGAAUCUUCCAUAUGAAUUUUGGAAAACUCGAUCUGAAAAUUAUGAAGUUUCUAUACUGUCUUUUGAAGGUUUAAAAAUUCCCUUCCUUGUGCAAAAAUUUUGCUUAUUGAGGAAAUCCCUUAUGCGUCAUAUGAAAGAUUGAGUAGUUCUGAAUUUUAAUUUCAUAUAUGAAUAUUUUCAAUUUCAUAUAUGGUAUUUAAUUUAUUUAUUUGAAGAAAUUGGAUUAUAUAUUAUAUGGAUAUUGUUACAGCUUAUUUGUGCAAAAAGUUUGUUAAGUUGAUGCAAGUUGAAUUCGAGAUGAGCUUGGUUGAAGAAAAUAAAAUUUUGCCUCGAAUUUCGAAAUGCAAGUGAUCGUUGCGGAUGUUGUUGCUACGAAGUAAAAAUAUUCUGUUCAACAUGCACAAGCAACAAUUGUUUCUAUUCGCAAAUAUUGUCAUAAUGAUAGGGGGAGAAUGUGAAUCUAAAAGAAAGGAAAGAAUUGUGAUCAUCUCAAAAAGGCAACAAAUUGAGGGGGAACUUUGAUCAAUUAUGGAAAAAUAUUUUUGGAUUGAUUGUGAUCUUGUUAUGAAAAGAAGGAAAAGGUAAGUGCGUCAAAAUUUAAGUUUUACAAAAUCUGGUUAGUGCAUCUUUUAUUACCUUUUGUCAUUAACAAAUCUCUUAUUGAUAUUAUUUUAUUAUGACAAAAAGGGUACAUAAAUUUUAUGAUGCAUCCAUGAUUUUUAUUGGAUAUUUGCUGAUAUAAUUGAAGUGAGCUAUAUUGCAUAUCUUUAAUAUUCGAUAAAAGCUGAUUUUUUGGAAAUUGUGUUUCAUGCAAGAUAUAUUUAUAAUUUUAUAUUCUCUACGUGAUACUUUUUAUCGCUUUUUGAUUAUGACAAAAAGGGAGAGAAGAUAUGAAUAUGCAUAUAUGUUGAUUGGUUAAUAUUAUAAUAUUUAGCUACGAUUAUUUUUCUAUAUAUUAUUCUCGAUUUAUUUGAUAUAUUAUGAUAUCCUUUGAUUUAAAUUAAUAUUUUUAAAAGCAUGUUUACAAAUCUGCAUAUUCAGAGAUUAUUUUGUCAUCAUCAAAAAGGGGGAGAUUAUUAGGGAAAUCCCUUAUGAUGUUUUGAAGAUGACAAAAUAAAUCAAAGACUACUAAUGUAUUUGAUGGUUGAGUAAUAGGCUAUGCAAAUGAUAGAACGUGUAAAAGAUAUUAUCAAAUCUAUACUUGGAAGAACCAGAAGACAGACUCUAUGCUGAAGUAAAAUAUGUUCAAACUCAUAUUGUAAAGUCUAUGGCACUCAGACUCAGAUUAUAAAGUCUAUGGCUCUCAGACUUUACAUAUAGAUUCGAUAGAACGUAACUCAAACCCAAUCAUAUAACGGCUAGUAGUUUGAUUUGGAUUCCACAUCAAGAUUGAUUUAAUUGACUCAAUCUAUUUGAUUGACAAUUGGAUCUUGAAGACAAGAACUUUCUAUACGAAGGAGCUUUACUUAUGAAAACCAAGAUUCUGUUUGUAUAGGCGAUCGGAAUCAAUUUGGGAUUCUACCUUUAUUACUCAACGGCUACCAAAUCUACUAGAUAUAGUGUUGUCUAAUGGGUAGAUUGGAAGACGAUCCUCAAGAUACUAUCUAACGGCUAGUUUGGAAGUGGAGGAGUAUUUAAGUAGAUGAAGGACCGAUGAGCAAGUAAGAGACGGAGCGUAAAAUUUAUAAUUUCAAAGUCUGAGCGACCUUCGAUCAUACACUUAUCUUUGGUGAGCUUAAACUUUUGUGAUCGUGAGAGAAAUACCAAAAGAGUGACUUAGUGAGAUAGUGUGAUCUACUAUUAAGUGUUUGCAUUCAAAAUUGUAAUCUCUUGUUGAUUGCAUAGUGGAAUCCAGCUAAGAAGGCUAUUAACGUGAGAGAAUAGACGUAGGCUUGGAUUAAGCCGAACCACUAUAAACCUUGUAUUCUUAUUCUCUUCCCUAACUCCUUUGUUUUGUUUAAAGUUUAUUUUAUUCGGCAUAUAUUUGCCAAUAUUUAUUUUAAACACCUAUUCACCCCCUUCUAGGUGUUCAUACUAGCAUUUUUAAAGGGAAAGUAAACUCUUUAGGCUAAGCGAUUUCCAUUUCUUUGGCUAAAGCAAAAAUUUUGGUGGAAUGUUGUCAUUAAUUGUCAUUAUCUUGGUCCAAUAAAAUCAUGGCAUUUAACUUCGUACAAGAUUCGCGGACCAAUUGGAACGUCCAAGAUUUCAUCAUAUAUCCACUUCAGGUCUUUCUGAAGCUUUGUCACCAAAUCAUUUAUGCUAUGGCUCAUGUCUUAAUUGGAACCAUGGUAUCAAUAGGGUAUAUGUGGACUCAGAAUUUUCCUUUUUAAGAUGGACCUUCUCAUUUAAAAUGCUAAGAUAAACUUUUCUAAGGAAGGAUUUCAAAUGUUUAGUAUUUAAUAGUAUUAUUUCUCACAUUUACUUCAUGGUAAACAAUACAAAAUGUCACAUUUAUCAUUGGGCAUGUGCAUCGUGUAUCAAAAACCCCAAGGAGAUGGAGAGGGCUGCCGCCGCCACCACCCAAACAACCUUGAGAAUCUCUAUAUGCUCAAAGUGUAGCGCUAAAUAUUCUCAUUUGUUUAGAAAGAAAUGAGAUUAAGCAAUUCAACAUGUGAAAGCGUGUAAUUGACUCGAUAAUGUGGUCUUCGUCCUCCGAGAAAGAGAAGGAAUGGCAGUGCUUGUCUUCUUGUUUUGUCAGCUGUAUGAUGGCAACCUCUUGGCAUCGUACAAACAUGUGCAAUAUGCUGUGCUUACUCAUUUGCAAUUAUAUAUGAAUUGGUUGGACUAUUACCCAGUGAGGUUAAGACAUCAGCUUUGGAUUACUGUAAUAAAAUAGUACCACCAGUAGCCUUGAUUAUAUGGUCUUUGUCCUUUGAGAAAGAAGGCGUAAUGAGACUGCUUGUGUUUUUGUUUUGUUAACUAUUAAAAAAAAAAAAAACGUGCAGUAUGAUAUGCUCUCUCAUUUGCAAUUAUAUACAAAUUGGUUGGACUAUUACCCAAUGAGAUGAAGAUUUCAGCUUUGGAUUACUGUAAUAAAAUAGUACCGGUAGCAGACUUGACAAUAUGGUCUUUGUCCUUUGAGAAAUAGACGUAAUGGGAUUGAUUAUCUUUUUGUUUUGUCAGCCAUAAAAAAAAUGUGUAGGAUAAAUGAUUUCGGAGCAUCUAGAGCAAUGCUAAGUCAAAUCCAGUGAGGCAAUAGAUUCGUGUUGGAUCCACAUAAUUAAAAAGCUUUGUCCCGUUUGCAGACAAGAAAUUUUCCUCCAUCUAUGCAUAACCUCCAUUAAAAUAACUUUGAUUGUAUUGUGAAAAACACAACCUAAUAAUUUGUGAGGCAUAAUUUAUCUUGACGUAGUAAUAAUAGUUAGAAUUGAUUAAGAACUUCUUUUUUUAUCAGAACAGAAGAUUUUAUAGCUAGAGGGGCAUAAUACAUUCCACUGCUAUAGCAUCCGAGAUAAGCAGGUCAAAGAGAAGAGGGGAGGGGGAUUCGGCCCAAGACGGGGAAAGAGAGCCCUUGCUGUGGGCUUUUGCGGCCCAAUCAACUACAGAGUUAGCUUCCCUCUUACAAAACCUAAUAUUCAGAAAGGGAAAGACACGACACAGAGCAACGGCUUCAUGGACAAGAGGGCGUAUCUCCCACGGGGGCUCUUGCUGAUUGCUAAUGGAUUCUACCAAGAGUAGACUAUCCGAUUCGAUCUCCAUAGGCGUUGCAAUAUUUCCUUGCUGCAAAAGGUGGCGAAGAGCAACAAUUAGUGCCUGAGACUCUGUCUGCAUCGCCGACGAUGCCUGCACAGUUCUGGUAAAUCCUUCUUUCAAUUGUUCGGACCGAUCCCUACAAAUAAAGGCAGUCAAUCCCUCUGUAUUACCAGAAGCAUAAGCCCAAUCAAUAUUGAUUUUCAGGGUACCCAGAUCGGGGGGGCUUCAAAAAUUGUCGAGAGUUACGCGGUUCUUCCCUGCGUUCGUCGGAGGCAUAGCAAGGAUCUUAACAAAUUUGACCUGGGCGAGUGCAACUUGGACAACAAAGUGCGGAUCCGGUUGCUGAUGGGAGAAGACGGCCCNNNNNNNNNNNNNNNNNNNNNNNNNNNNNNNNNNNNNNNNNNNNNNNNNNNNNNNNNNNNNNNNNNNNNNNNNNNNNNNNNNNNNNNNNNNNNNNNNNNNACUGCUAUACUAUCUCCAGCUCAGGUUUUGAAUUCUUUUGUUGUAUUCUAUCUGCUAUCCAUUCAUCUAUGUGCGAAACAGCUAUGGUAUUAAUCUAGAUAUCUAUGUCAGGGUCUGACCAAACUAAUUUAGUCCAAGGGCAUAACAAAAGAAGGUGUUCGAUCGUCUCAGGUUGUUAAGUUUGGCAGAUAGGACAGAUGGGAUCAAUACUAAUUCAACGUCGAAAUAAAUUUUCUUUUGUUGACAAUGCAUUAUGGCAAAUAGUCCAAAAGAAAACCUUGACCUUUGGUGGUAGAUUAAUUUUCCAUAUGCUUUUCCAAAGUAGAGUAGGUUGUUGGUAAGACGAUGAAGCCUACUGCGUGAUUUUGCUCGUUUCUUCUUUCCUAAUUGACAGAUAACCGCUACGAACUGUAUACUGUCCAUUGGUUCUUACCAUCCAUACUAGCUUGUCUGUUGUAUAGUUUGGCCACACUGGAAUUUUGAGAAUCUUUGCUGUUGUUUGUUCAUCAUAAAAGUUUUCUAGAAUUGCGAUAUUCCAGUUAGGUGAAUUUUGUACCGGUAGAUCAGCAACCAAUGUAGGUUCUUCUCUUUGAGCGGGACCGCCAAGAAUUCCCCUAGGAAGCCAUCGAUCCUCACGAAUUUUAAUAGUUGAUUCGUCGCCAAUUGACCAUUGAAGAGGUAGAAUAGUAUCCCUUUCGACCAGUAGGCUCUCCCAUCCCCAUGAAGGCCAGGCACCUCUAUGGGCAUGACAAAAGUCUUGCAAAGGAAAAUAAAUGGCCUUGAACAACUUACUCCACAAUGAGGAAGGCUAUUGGAUUAAUCUCAAUGCUUGUUUACCAAGCAUAGCCUUGUUGAAAGCCACAAGAUCUCUAAAACCCAGUCCUCCCGACGCCUUCGUGCUUUUUAAGACAUCACAUUGUUUCCAAUGAAUUCCUGCUUUUCGACAAUCAUUCUGCCACUAGAAUCGGGUAAUCUUUUUCUCAAUAGAUUUGCAUAUGGAUAUAAGAAUUUUAAAAAUAAACAUUACAUACUAAAGAAUAGCUUGCACAACAGUCUUAAUUAGGACCUCCUUACCACCCGUUAAGAUAAGAUUCUCCUUCCAGCCCUCCAUUUUUGAAUUCACUCUACCCAAUAACCAAGCAAACAUCUCUCCUUUUGACCGUCCCCAAUCAGAAGGAAUGCCUAGGUAUUUACAUGUUCUUUCCAGCACAGGAACUCUUAGCACAUUUGCCAAGUUUUCUUUGAGACUCCUCGGACAAUCCUUGCUAAGGAAAAUAUCUGACUUGUUCCUAUUAAUCAACUGACCUGUAGCUAGGCAAUAUUGAUUUAGAAUACUUGCCAGGUUUUGGCAUUCUAUUAUUGUGCCAUUUAAAAAGAAUACAGCAUCGUCGGCGAAAAAUAAAUGAGAGAGAGUAGGACUCCAUCUGUUAAUUUUAAUGCAUUUCAGCUGCCUUAUGUCGACGGCUUGAUGGAUGAGAGAUGAAAGGAGAUUAGCCAGUAGGAUGAAUAAAUAAGGGGAUAAAGGAUCUUCCUGACGAAGUAUUUGCGUAGGAUGAAAAUAUCCCAAUUGUUGGCCAUUGAACUUUAUAUUGAUCGAUACCGUGGAUAUACAUUGAUAAAUCCAUUGAACCCAUUUGAGAUGGAAGCCAAGCUUAAGUAGGUAAGCCGUCAAAAAGUCUCAUUCCACCCUGUCGUAUGCUUUAUGCAUGUCCAUUUUUAAGAUUGCCAGGAAAUUUUGUCGCGGUUUCCUGAUUUUUAUCUGAUGGAGAAUCUCCUAGACAAUUAGGAUAUUGUCUUGGAUUUGUCGCCCACUAACAAAAGAUGAUUGUUCGGUUGAGAUCAGAUGAGGUAGUACCGGUUUUAGUCGUUUAGCAAGAACUCUAGAAAUAAUUUUGUAGGCGUAAUUACAAAGGCUAAUAGGACGGUAGUGGUCCAAACUUUGAGAGAGAGGUAUCUUUGGUACCAAGGCUACAGCAGUCUUAUUUAGAUCCAAAGGCAUCAAACCUAAAGUAAAAAAAAAUUGAACUGAGAGACUCACCUCAUCUUGUAGGAUAUCCCAGUUGGAUCGAUAAAAUAGGCCAUUUAGUCCAUCAGGCCCCGGGGCCUUGUUCGCACCUAGCUGAAAAGUAGCAGUACAGAUCUCAUCCUUAGUAACCAUGGUUGUGAGGGCAGUAUUCAUUUCAAGUGUUACAAUACAGUGACAUUGAUCAAGUAUUGGUUCAAAGUCACGAGAACCCACUGUGGUAUAUAUAUUGGAGAAGUAAGUCUGAAUCACUUCUUUAAGAGUGGCUUCAUCCCUUACCCAACUCUGUUCAGCGUCCAUAAGCAUCGUAAUGCGAUUCCUUUGUCUCCUUUGGAUGGUGGUGACAUGGAAAAAUUUAGUGUUUUUGUCACCCCAUUUUAACCAGCUGAUCCAUGAUCGCAUAGCCCAAAAUUGCUCCUCUUGCUGCCAAAGCUGCUGAAUAUCUAACUUGAUUUUUGUUGCUUUCUCUUUAUCGUAGGGUAUGUCUGUUUGAUUUGUAGUCUGUUGAAGCAUAUACUGUAGCUCGUCAAUUCUUUGUUUUGCAUUGGAAAAAGUUCGGCGACUCCACGAGGUAAGUGCUAAGCUAACAAAACCAACGUUAGUAGCAUAUUUCCAUGAGUUAGAGAUGAUCUUCCUGCAAUCCGGGUGUUGUAACUAGAAUGCUUCAAAGGUGAAAGGUCUGCAUCAUCUGGUUGUGGGGGCCUCUAUAUUUAGUAGAAGAGGAUUAUGAUCCGAACCUAUCGCUGGUAAGGCACACACCUCAGCUUCUGGGAAAGCGAUUCUCCAAUCCAAGUUGCUCAGAACCCUAUCCAAACGCUCUUUGAUAAUUUCUUCCCCUUGAUGGUUAUUCAUCCAGGUAAAUGCACAUCAUUUACUCUCCAUAUCAAUUAAAGAGCAAUCAUGUAACAUCUCUCUAAAUGAAUUCAUACGAUUAAAGUCAGCUAACUUCUUUCCUACCUUCUCCUAGUGGUAAGUUACCUCGUUGAAAUCACCAACACAUAUCCACAGUGAAGAGUGAGACGUAGCAAUUUGUCGAAGGACAUCCCAGCACUGCUGUCGAAGCCGAAGUACUAUUGGUGCAUGAACACAGGUCACAAGUAUAGGUAUGUGAUUCCCCGAGUCAGUACAUAACAAGUCUAUGAAAUCCUUAUUUGAGUGUAUUACUCUAAUAGAAAUGUGUGCAUGCUAGAAUAUAGCCAAACCCCCCGCCGAGCCAACGGGAUUCACCAAAAAAGAAUUUAUGUAGUUGAGCCUAUUUUGAAUUUUUGUGAGCUUUUCUGAACCGUUCUUAAUCUCCAUCAAAAACAUGAGAUCCAGUCUUUCUUUAACCACUAGGGCCUUGAGAGCCUGAACUGUCGGGGCAGACCCUAUACCCUAAUAGUUCCAACUUAGCAGCUUCAUUUUACUGUUGGUGGCUUUUGAAGACAAGCCACCUCAGCCCCUUUACUGUGCUCUUCAGCCAUAAAUAUUGAUGUAUUGAGUAAUUGAGCCUCAUCAAGAUCUUCUAUUAGAUUUGGUCAUGAUUCGUAAGGGUUAUAACGCUCAGUUUCUUUGUAGUAGAUACUUUUGUUGAGACUCAUGAGUGCUUCACCUUCCUCUAAAAAGGUAUAGGCAAACUUUGUUCUUGAAUCCCUUUCAUCCGUAAUGGAGAAACAAUCAAGGCCCCCAUGGAAGCUGAUGAGGACACAAAGCUUGGGUGAAGAUACUGGUGCUGUUGCUGGUCUUAUGUUUGCUGCCGAGUCUCAAGUGCUACCUGGGGAAUAACUAGUUCCUGUGACUUCCCAUCUAUUUUCUCUUUGUCAGUCAGGUAAGGAACCUUAAUGCCUUUCUAUUUGGGAUUUACAGUGGUCAUAUCAUGUUUAGAUAGAUUGCUAGCUAACCUGCCAUCAGGCUCAAAUUGCAUCGUAGAGAUAAGAGGACCAUUCGCUUCUUUGUUCUCAUUGGGGGGAACAGCUGGAGCCUUAAUGGUCAGAACAGGAAGAGUUUCUGGGACCAUUUCCUCUAUCACAGUGGGUUGUUCUUGGUCACCAUAGAAUGUAAUCCAAUAAGGACUGUGUUCUUUAACCUCAGCACGCAGCCAUUGUCCAUAGGCCAUUUUAUCCUUGCCAGCUAGCUUUGCCUCUGUGAAUGAAAUUUCCAAACAGUACUCUGCAUAGUGGCAUAGGGUGCACAUGACAAAAUUUCUGAAACAGAAAUUGAUUUCUCAAUUUCUAUUUCAAAAACUGAGAAGCUAAAAAUUUUAGCUUCUGAUUUCUUCUUCAAAUCUAUUUCUGGAAUAGAAAUCUGUUUCAGAAAUAGAUAAAUCAAAUUGCGUUACCAAACGGAUUUCUGUUCCAAAUCUGUUCCGGGGAACAGAGAAACAGAGAAAUCAAGAAACAUAAAUUUUAUCAUGCGCAGCCAUAGCCUAUCACAUGACUAGCAAAAAUGUGGGAGUCUCUCAUAUCUGAAAUCUAACCAUAUAGUUUUGCCAUCAAUGCAAAUUAAGUGUCCUAUCUUUAAAGGCAUCUAUAAAUCCAUUUCCACCCUUACUCUACCUGAUCUGAAAUUGGAACCUUCCCUUGAAUCCAUUUUGACCUCUAAUACUCGGCCCACAUGCUUCACAACUUUCCUUAGCAUCUGAUCCGAGGACCACUCAAGCGGUAGGCCGUAAACUUGGACCCAAAAAGCACAAGUCGAAAAGUCAUAACAAUGUAAUAGCGUAUUGGGGAGCCAAGGCUUGAAUAUAACCAAGUGACUAGAGAAUAACCACCGUCCACCCUCUAAUAUUCUAUUCUUGUCUCCUUCAUAUUGAAACAUAGCUACGUAUAAACCAGCAUCACGUUGAGUAAUUUCUACUUGUUCUGUUCUCCAUGCACGUUUAAGGGUAUUUUGGAAUGCCUGGAAAGUUAAUUAUGGAUUAGAGAGAAUUUUACCUACUAAAGUAAGCUUACAUUCCUCGAUCUUCUCCCGUGUCGGCAAAUCAUCCCAAACUUCAAGCUCGUGAGCAGAGCAAAGUCGGCCCAGCCUGGAACAUAGAGCAGCUAGGCGAGAAUCUUCCUCGAAGUCGACUGCUUCCAUAGUACACAAUGCUGGGCAAAGUGCAAAAGAGGCUCAGAUGUAGAUAUCUACUGCAUGUAAUGACUCAGAGAUGGGCCAAUGGUGCGGUCAAAGAUGAAAAAGAACAAUAAAAAAAACCCAGACGAGAUGGGGACGAAAGCGACCCCAAUUGCACUGUCAAAAAGUGCUACAGAAAGAACGAACGAGCUGUAUCGCGAAGGUGCCAGAGUUAUGAGGGACGUUGAAUGGUAGAAUUAGGGGGGAAUUAAGUUAGGAGAUGGAAGAAAAGGAGUUAAGAUUUGCAGGGACAUCGUCACUUUAGGGUUGUUCUGGGAAUUACCAUGGCAGUAGAGAGGGAACUCUACAUUUCGAGAGAAUUUCUUUGUGACUUCAACCAAAGACUACUUUUUCCUCGAACUGAUUAAGAACUUACCACUGUUGGAGAAAUCUUUCCAGAAUAUUUUGAAGCUGACAAAACAUUUCUAUCAGUCUAAGUCUGGAUAUCGAUAGUUAAAGUCUCAAGAUUUUAUAGUCUCAAGACUCUGUUAUCUCAAGACUCAAGACUCAAGACUCAAGACUCAAGACUCAAAGUUAUUCUCACUGACAGUCUUUCUAAUCCAGUGUUGAAGGAAAUCCAAAGUCGAGGUUUAUGAUUGAGGAUUUGAUCCUAUCCUCUGGGAUAGAUUCUUUGGUUGGAUAAUCAUUUCGGAUUCUUUAUAUCUUAUCUAAGAACGAUUGAAGAUCCGAUGGUCGACGAAAUAAUCUUGGAUUAUUCUAUUCUUGGAAACCGAGAUCCUGAUUGUAUGGGCGAACAGGAUUGAUGGGCUAUCAUCAGAUUCCUUAUAUAGCUCGGAUGAUCUUCUUGAUUGAUUCCGUCCAACGGGUAGAUUGGAGGAAUUCCUUUGGUAAGUGCCAACGGCUAUGAUGGCAUGAAGGAGUAUAAAAGGAAGACGUUCUAGUUGUUUUAAGUGUGUGAUCGAUAGAAAAAUUCCAGAGUCUGAAGAUCCUUUGAUUGUUAGUUGAGACUGAGCGAAAUUGUAUACUGAGAGUGUUUAUACUUGGUGACGCCUUGAGCAAGUGUGGUAGAUCAUCUACACCUAGAAAUCAAGGAAGAUCAACACUGUAACAUCUCUUUGAUCAUAGUGGAAUCCAGCCAAUCGGCUGUCAGUGCAGAAGAGUGGACGUAGGCUUGAAUCAAGCCGAACCACUAUAAACUGAGUGUUCAAUUCUCUCUUUCCCUUACUCAGUCUUGCGAUUGAAUUUUCAACUGUUGCAAAGUCUCUAAUUGUUUAAGUAUCGUGCAAACAUCGAGAAAUUUUUUGUGUAUACCUAUUCACCCCCCUCUAGGUACUCAUACUAGCUAUCUCAAUUGGUAUCAGAGCCUGUGUUCUUACUUUGUUUGAAGUGUUUUACUUCAGAGUAAAAGAUCCAUGGCUAGUAUGCUAGCACCGGGGCUGAUGGAGGGGCAAAGCAAUACCAGACCUCCCUACUUCGAUGGAAAGGAUUACAACAUCUGGAAGAACAAGAUGAAAGCUUUCCUACGAUCAAAGGAUCCUCUGGAAUGGGACGUAGUGGAAAAAGGAAUCACUAUUGCUGCUGCAUCAAACACUGAAAGAGGAAAAGAAACCGUUGAAACCAGCGGAAUGUCUCAAGAAGAAAUAAACAAGAGACAAGCACUUGAUGCUAAAGCAAUUUAUUCUUUAUAUUGUGCUUUGUCACCAACUGAAUAUAACAGAAUAUCUUCUUGUGUCACAGCAAAAGAAGUCUGGGACAGGUUACAUAUCACUUAUGAAGGAACAGAUCGAGUGAAGGAGACCAGAAUUAACAUUCUUCUUGGUCAAUAUGAAUCCUUCAAAAUGAAACCAGGAGAAUCUAUAACUGACAUGUUUAGUCGUUUUACAGAUAUUGUCAAUGGUCUUGAGAACCAAGGACAAAAAAUUUCUGAUCCCAUGAAGGUGAACAAGCUUCUACGUGGACUCUCCAAGGAUUGGAAUCAUAUAAAGACUUCAAUAAGAGAGACGCAAAGAAUCAUGCCAUUAUCUGUAGACGAACUGAUUGGAACUCUUCAGUCUUACGAAGUGGAACGAAUUAAUGAAGACGAAGAUCCAAGAGGUAAGAAAUCUAUUGCACUGAAAUCAAAUGAUGAUUCUGAUGAUGCAGAUUCUGAAGAUGAUAUGAAUGAUGAGGAGCUCGCCCUCAUGAUAAGAAGAUUCAGAAAACUGAAUAGAAAAGGCAGAAGGUUUAUCCCAAAGAAACAAAGUUCUCAGAGACAGCAGACCAAGUCUGUUGAUGAUGAGGAACCAAACAAAGAAGUAGUUUGCUUCGAAUGUAAAAAGAAGGGACACAUCAGACCCAACUGUCCUCUUCUGAAAAAGAAAAGAGGAAAAGCUGAGAAAUUUCGAAAAGCUCUUAAAGCCGAAACCUGGAGCGAUACAGAGUGUGAAGAGAGUGAUGAGGAAUAUGCCAACCUGUGUCUAAUGGCGCAAUCAGACUCAGACUCUGGAUCAGACUCAGACAGUGAAUUUGAGGUAAGCAAUUAUAAAAUCCCUGUCAAAGUCUCUAAAUAUAUUAAUGAGUUAUGUUUUAGUCUUAAGACUUCUCUUAAAAGGAUUUCCGAACUUAAAAAGGAAAACUCAGUUUUAAAACAAAAGGAAAUCAUUUUAGAAGAAAAGGUAAAAAAUUUAGACUUGAAUGUUUCUACUCUUAAAGAGAGUGAAGACAAUCUUUCAAAAGAAAAUGCUUUCUUAAAAACUGAUUUAUCAAAUAUUUCAAAGAAAUUUUCAAUAGGGUCCGAAAAACUUGAAAAAGUUCUUUCAAUCCAAAGACCUUACUUUAAUAAGUCGGGUCUAGGUAUGACAGAAGAAACAAUCCCUUUGAUUGAUUUUCCGAAAGUAAAAGAAAGAAUUAAGAAAAGACCAUCGAAAGAGGCUUAUAAAAAUCAUUUCAAAAGAGUUUUUGUAAAGCCUGUAGGUCGAAAUGCUUUAAGGUGUUCUAAGUGUAACAGUCAGGAUCAUUUUGAAAAAGAGUGUCCUAUGGUUUGGAAGCCUGUGAAGAGAGUAUGGCCUAAUAAUGCUUAUCCUACUAACAUGAAAGGACCCAAGAAAAUUUGGGUACCAAAGAAAGCUUGAGACUCUUUUUUGAAUGCAGGUCUCUGUCAAAAAGAAGGUAAAGUGGUAUCUUGACAGCGGAUGUUCAAGACACAUGACAGGAGACUCAGAGUGUUUCAUAAAGCUUAUUAAAGUGAAUGGUGGAAAAGUUUCAUUCGGAGGAAAUAGCAAAGGAAGUAUUGUGGGAUUCGGAAUUGCGAAAAUUGGAAAUCUCACAAUAAGCAAUGUCUCUCUAGUGGAAGGACUCAACUACAAUCUACUCAGCAUUAGCCAAUUGUGUGAUACUGGUUACAAGAUCUUCUUUCAAGAAGGCAUUUGUUCUGGAAUUAGCAAAGAUUCGACUCAGUCUUUCAUGGGUCGAAGGCAUGGAAACAUCUACCUCCUUGAUGUAAAGCCAAAUGAAGAACAAUGCUUAAUUUCAAUUCAAGAUGAAGCAAUUCUAUGGCAUAGAAAGCUUGGCCAUAUCAACAAGAAGCAAUUAGCCAAAAUCUCUUCAAAGCAGCUUGUUAGAGGUCUACCUAAACUGCCAUACCAAAAGUCUGACUUAUGUACUCCAUGCAUUCUGGGAAAGCAGGUAAAAAAUUCAUUUAAACAAAUAAAUCAUGUAUCUACUAAUCAUGUAAUACAGUUGCUUCAUAUGGAUCUCUUCGGACCAACAAGAACCCAGAGCAUUGGAGAUGAAGGCAUCUUCCUUGGAUAUUCUACAUCAAGCAAAGCCUACAGAGUCUACAAUAAAAAAAAGCCAGUCUGUGGAAGAAUCAAUGAAUGUCAAAUUCCAAGACUCAGUGCAAGAUGAAUCCAGCCAGACUCAGUACGAUGAGACUGAAUCCGCUCUAGAUCUUCAAAUGUCUACAUCUCAAGAAGCAUCUCAGAUUCUGGAAGUCCAUCAUCAAGACGAUCAUGGAGAAUCAAAUAAAGAAAGAGAUCAUCAACCUGGUAACUGGAAACACAAAUCCAGUCAUCCCAAAGAUCUUAUUAUUGGCGAACUUAAUGAAGGAAUCCGCACCAGAUCAAAAAGGCAUGAAGAAUCUAGUGCUGUGGCUCUCAUCUCUGAAAUUGAACCAAAAAGCAUAGAAGAAGCUUUAUCUGAUGAAAGCUGGAUCGAAGCUAUGCAAGAAGAGCUUAGACAGUUCAACAUCAAUGAUGUCUGGGAAUUGACAUCUAAACCAAAAGGUAAAACUGUUAUUGGAACCAAAUGGGUAUUCAGGAACAAAAUGAACGAAAAAGGAAAAGUCGUACGAAACAAAGCAAGGCUCGUGGCCAAAGGGUAUACGCAAGAAGAAGGAAUAGACUAUGACGAGACUUACGCACCCGUUGCAAGGUUAGAAGCUAUUCGUCUAUUACUUGCGUUUGCUUGUUACAAAAAUUUCAGGUUAUUCCAAAUGGACGUCAAAAGUGCUUUCCUAAAUGGAUUUAUCCAUGAGGAAGUUUAUGUGGAACAACCGCCUGGAUUUGAAGACCCAAAGAAGCCAGACUCAGUCUUCAGACUGAAAAAGGCUCUGUAUGGUCUAAAGCAAGCACCUCGAGCUUGGUACGACAGAUUAAGUAAGUUUUUAUUACAAAAUGGUUUUGUCAAAGGUAAAGUAGAUACUACUUUGUUUAUCAAAAAGGAAAACAAAAACUUUUUACUUGUUCAAAUAUAUGUUGAUGACAUUAUUUUUGGAUCUUCUAAUGAAAGUCUUUGCAAGAAAUUUUCUAAGUCUAUGCAGGAUGAAUUUGAAAUGAGUAUGAUGGGAGAAUUAACAUUCUUUCUUGGACUCCAAGUGAAACAAAUGAAGGAAGGAACUUUCAUCCAUCAAGAAAAAUAUGCGAAUGAUCUUGUCAAAAGGUUUGGAUUGGAAAAAUGCAAAAAGAUCGACAUACCAAUGUCAUGUUCUCAGAAGAUAGACAAGGAUGAAGAAGGGAAGAAAAUAGAUCAAAAGCUGUACAGAAGCAUGAUCGGUUCACUUCUUUAUCUUACUGCUUCUAGACCUGAUAUUUUGUUCAGUGUUUGUAUCUGUGCUAGGUUUCAAUCAGAUCCUAGAGAAUCACAUCUCAGUGCCGUGAAACGAAUUAUCAAAUACGUUGCUUCAUCUUCAAGCAUCGGUCUUUGGUAUCCAAAGAAGGGAGACUUUAAUCUUCUAGGAUACUCAGAUGCAGAUCUGGCCGGUUGCAGAAUCGAUAGAAAGAGCACUUCUGGAACUUGUCAACUACUUGGAAACAGAACGGUGUCUUGGUUUUCGAGGAAACAAAGCACUGUAGCUCUUUCAACAACAGAAGCAGAGUAUGUAGCUCUUGGAAGCUGCUGUUCGCAAAUUCUAUGGAUAAAACAACAGCUACAAGACUUUGGCAUUGAAGACUCAUGCACAGAAAUCAGAUGUGACAACACCAGUGCUAUAAAUCUCACCAAAAAUCCAAUCCUUCAUUCAAGAGCAAAGCAUAUUGAGAUUCGACAUCACUUUAUUAGAGAUCAUAUUCAAAAUGGAGAAAUCUCGAUUCAAUUUGUUGAUUCAAAAAGUCAACUAGCAGACAUAUUCACAAAGCCUUUGGAGAAGAAUCAGUUUGACUUUAUCCGCUCAAGACUCAACAUUUUGAAGCUUGAAGAAGUUAAAGUCUAGAGACUCACCAACUCUAAAGACUCUGAUCUCUUAGACUCUAAGUCCUGAGACUCAGACAUUCGUGGAUAAAGACUGUAAGUUGUAUUUCUUCUAAAAGGUACUAAUUGUCAUUUAGUCGAAAAGGUACGAUCUUUUGUUUAAUAAUUUUGGCAGUUAUAGAUUUUGAAAAGAAGUAAUCGUUCACUUUCCAUUGCACCGAUUGAACUUCCCUUUUCAAAAACUAAGUUAUAUAUACAGUUUUUCCCCAAAUCUUCAAAACCCUAAAAAGCACUCUUCUCUCUAUACUGUUUCUACUCUUUGUUCAUCGUCGAGAAAGUGGUCAUUUUUCUUGGGAAAGCAAGUGAAGGAAUCCUCCAAUAGACAAAGAAAGAUGUCGUCUUCAAGGAAAUCAUCAAGAAUCGCGAACAGGGGACCACAAAGAAUGAAGAAGGGACCGACUCAUUUCGAUCUCACUGAGGAAGAAGACUUAUCUGGUCAGCGACAAAGUCCGAUUCGCUCUCCUCCACGUCAUUCAGCAUCUCCUGCCCCACAAAGUGAAAGUCAUAAUCUGGAAGAAGAGAUAAUCGAGGAUGCCGACCCAGUAAGAGUUCAAAAGCCUUCCUUUUUGUAUAAACUUUAUUGUGCAUUGAAAAGCACAGGUACUCCAUUGAACUACAUAGAUGACUUCCUUAAGGACAAAAAUUAUGGGAAUGAGUAUCUUUUUCUGAAGAAAAUGGAGGAAUGGGGAAUUGCCCCAAAAGGAAAAGCAGAGGAAGCUCUUGCGAACAUUCCAAGAGAUCCUCGUAUGCCAGGACAAAAUCUGAUUGACGCGAAUGAUGAUGACAAAAUGUUCCUUGAAUUUGAACCUAGAAUGGGUGUGGCGGCAAAGGCGAAAGGAAAUCGGAUGGAUUUGUUUAAAUCCAAGGAUCAAGAAAAAGUGUAUUACAGUCUGUUGAAAAGAGGGGUAAUCAACCCUAGAAGUGUCGAUUUUGACUUCCUGGAUUCCAUCAACUUGAACCUAAGAGAGAAGUUGAAUUUGCUUCAACUUGAGACUUUCUGCUCUGACUCUACAGACGGGUAUGAUCAUCUGACUGCUUAUUUCUAUUCAAAUCUUAGCUUUUUUGAUGCGAAUAGAAUUUCAUUCAGUGUUCGAGACAAAGUCUAUGUGGUAGAUGUGAAUAUGUUGGCAGACAUAGUUGGAGUUGAACGGGGACGCUAUCUCCCAAUUAAAGUCUCACCUGCUCGAACUACUCUGGAUCUUGUCAAAGAUAGGGAUGUAGAUAAGAAAAUUAUCUAUUCCAGAAUGAACGCUAUCAACAUUGUGCUUCACAAGAUUGUGAUCAAUUGUCUAAGACCUAAGUCUACUUCAAAGACUUCUGUGUCUCUUUCUGAAGCAAAGUUGAUGUAUGCGAUCAACUCAGGACGGAAGUUCUCUCUCCCGCACACUAUUCUUUUCCAUAUGUACAGAACUGUGUCAAAAGACAAAGGACAAUUGCCUUAUCCUGGUCUGGUGACCAAGAUCUUCAGACAUCUGAAUAUUGAACUGCCACAUACUUUUUGUGUUCGACCGUGUGAUAAGAUGGUGGUAGGGUUGAAAAUGUUAAUGAAGAUGCGUCUGCAAGAACUUUCUAAGGCAAUGGAGAAAUUCAAAGUGAAAUCUCCAGUCCAGUCUGCUUCAAAAGGAAAAGGAAAGAAGGCAUUUAGUGCUUCUUCGAAAAAGAGGAAAAGAAUUCUUAUCCUGGAGGAUGAGGAUGAAGAUGAAGAUGAUGAAGAUCCCACUAUUCCAGCACUGACAAGAACAAGACGUUCUGUGUCUUAUUCGACAGAACUUCAGCAGAGCAGAGAAGAAGAAGAACAGAGAGAGAAGGAGAAAGAAGUUGAGGAAGAAAAAGAAGAAGUAAAAGAUCAGUCUGCUGAUAAAUCUGGAGAGAAGGGAAAUCAAGAGAUUGAUCAUCACUCUUCUCCUUUCGAUGUCCUAGAGACAGGGGGAGUUAGCGAGCAAGAGAGGUCUCCACCUCAUGCUGCUGAAGAUCAAAGAAAAUCUCCAGAAGACCCAGAAGAAGCUCAGGUCUCUCAAUUGCCUGAAGAAGAUGAUACGACGAUUCCAAAUCUGCAAGACCGUUCAGAAGCGCCAUCGUCUGCACACACACCAUCUGAGAAAGCCAAUGCCAGUACACAGACGGAUGAUUCUGUAGAUCUUCGUAGUAUCAUGAAUAUUCUUCUGGAAAUGCGUAACCAGAUAUAUAUUCUGGAUUGUGAAAUCCAAGUCUUGAAGCAUGCUGGACAAGCAUCUUCAGUCUCUCUGGAAGAAAAAUACAAAGACCUCGCUCUACAACUUCAAGCCAAUGCCAAGAGAGAAGAGGUAGCUCAUCUGCGAGAAGAUCUGAAGAAGCUCGAAGGAGUAGUCCAGUCCAUUGGGGAUUUCCAGAUCGUGCGCAUUCCCAAGCAGACAUGACUCCUUUCUCACCCUCUUUUUAAUGAUGACAAAAAGGGGGAGAACCAAUUUGAACAAACAUUAUUUUAAAACUUUAUUUGACUUUUGUGGUUAUGUUUAUUUUUGAGUAUGACUUGAGAACUUGAACUUGAGUGUUAGACUGAAUUGGUUGUGGAUUUUGAUGCUUGACUGGUUGCAUUUAUAUCAAGUAUUGUUACAUGGUAUUACUCAUGAAAGACUAACCAAUUUGCUGUGGAUGCAGAGUCUGGUUGUUUAUUAAUCUUUAUGAGUUAGCCAUAUUGCUUGAGAAAUGUUUUUGCAGGUCAAAGUUGUUCAAAUCUUCAAGAAAGUUUUGUCACCAUCAAAAAGGGGGAGAUUGUUGGAGAAAUCUUUCCAGAAUAUUUUGAAGCUGACAAAACAUUUCUAUCAGUCUAAGUCUGGAUAUCGAUAGUUAAAGUCUCAAGAUUUUAUAGUCUCAAGACUCUGUUAUCUCAAGACUCAAGACUCAAGACUCAAGACUCAAGACUCAAAGUUAUUCUCACUGACAGUCUUUCUAAUCCAGUGUUGAAGGAAAUCCAAAGUCGAGGUUUAUGAUUGAGGAUUUGAUCCUAUCCUCUGGGAUAGAUUCUUUGGUUGGAUAAUCAUUUCGGAUUCUUUAUAUCUUAUCUAAGAACGAUUGAAGAUCCGAUGGUCGACGAAAUAAUCUUGGAUUAUUCUAUUCUUGGAAACCGAGAUCCUGAUUGUAUGGGCGAACAGGAUUGAUGGGCUAUCAUCAGAUUCCUUAUAUAGCUCGGAUGAUCUUCUUGAUUGAUUCCGUCCAACGGGUAGAUUGGAGGAAUUCCUUUGGUAAGUGCCAACGGCUAUGAUGGCAUGAAGGAGUAUAAAAGGAAGACGUUCUAGUUGUUUUAAGUGUGUGAUCGAUAGAAAAAUUCCAGAGUCUGAAGAUCCUUUGAUUGUUAGUUGAGACUGAGCGAAAUUGUAUACUGAGAGUGUUUAUACUUGGUGACGCCUUGAGCAAGUGUGGUAGAUCAUCUACACCUAGAAAUCAAGGAAGAUCAACACUGUAACAUCUCUUUGAUCAUAGUGGAAUCCAGCCAAUCGGCUGUCAGUGCAGAAGAGUGGACGUAGGCUUGAAUCAAGCCGAACCACUAUAAACUGAGUGUUCAAUUCUCUCUUUCCCUUACUCAGUCUUGCGAUUGAAUUUUCAACUGUUGCAAAGUCUCUAAUUGUUUAAGUAUCGUGCAAACAUCGAGAAAUUUUUUGUGUAUACCUAUUCACCCCCCUCUAGGUACUCAUACUAGCUAUCUCAACCACCAACCUAAAUGUACAUAGUAGUCAAAACCUUCUCGCUGUGUGAAUCCUUUGGCCACCAAUCGUGCCUUAUAUCUCUCUAUAGAACCAUUUGCCCUGUACUUGAUCUUGAAAACCCACUUACAUCCAAUGGGUUUGUCACGCCCCGAUCCUCGGACGCGCGCACAUCCUUCAACUUGGUCGAUUUUAUAUGGCUCUGUAGAUAAGGAAUGAAUCCUUUAUAAUGUUUAAUGACUGAUCUGAUUGAAUAAUAUCAAUCCAUUCUUCAACAAAAAUAUAUAAUUUUAUCAAAUGAUGUGGAUUUUUCUAUUAUUCGGCUCUGUGUACUAUAAUUAAUGAAUGCAAACCGCCCUAUGCAUGUGUAUUAAUUAUAAAGAAUUGUAUAAGACUCCUUUAUAAAAUGGUGAGCAAAAUCCUAAGAUUGUUUCAAGUGAGAAACAUUGGGAUCCGUAUAUGACUCUGCCAUAACUAAAAGUGUAUAUUUCAUCCAAUUCAAUGGGUACUAUAUGAUUUUGUUAAUUCUCAAUAUAAAUGUUUGUCUGAUAUUUUGUAGAGCUAUCGAGUUCUUCAACUAAGUUGAUCUGUCUUGAAUUGAUGCAAAAUCACUAAAUAUAUCGAAGAGAGGAGUUUAUAUGUAAUUAUAAAUUUGAACCAUAUCAUUCGUCGAGUUUUUUAUACUUGAAAGCGUAAGGAGAGGUAACUAGCAUAAUGACCUCCUUUGAACGUAACCCACGCGCGAUUAUAAAUUUGGUCUGUCAAGUUAUCAACUUUAAGUCAGUUUAGGCGGAUUUUAUUUUUCUGACGUGGAAUAUAACAUACUUAUCAUUUACAAACAUUUUGUUUAACAUACUUAUCAUUUACAAACACUCUCGUAUAACUUGUUUAACAGUAUCUUAAUAAUUACUAACAUCAAGCUUAGAUACGGUAUCACCAAACAUUUCACUAAACUAGUCAUGAAUUCUAAAGUUUGAUAGUUUAGAAUUCAGGUAGGGAAUGCUGGUAGAUAAAACUGAUUUAAUGAUAAAACAUCAACCUGACUCAAAGUAACAAGUAUUAUUCACCAAUGAGAGACUUUUCUUAUGCCAUUUACUGUAUGAAAUGACGUAAAUAAGCAAUAAGCGAUAAUCUUUACUGGAUUUCAUGCAUGACAAUUCUUCCAUUCUUAUAAAUAACAAAUCUACAUAUGAAGAGGGAAAGAGGUGAGGAAAAGGAAGAAAAAGAUUAUUUUGCUCUUCAUGGACAACAGGCGAAAGGAUGGGGAAAGUGAAGCUCUUUAUACGGACAGAAGUUAUUGAGCUCAUGUAAGGGAAAUGCCACAAAUGGUCCUUAAACUUUCAUCUAAUGUUCAAUUUCAUCCAUAAGCUUUUGAUUUGCUCAAUUUGAUCCAUGAACUUUCAUCUAAUGUUUCAUCUAGUCCCUAACUAUUUGAAAAUUGACCAAUUUCCUUUUUUUCUUUUUAGUACCAAACUGUUUUUUAUACAUAAAAAAAAAAAUACCAAACUGGUUUUUUUUUUAUUUAUAAAAAAACAGUUUGGUAUUAAAAAAAAUGAAAAUUGGUCAAUUUUCAAAUAGUUAGGGAUUAGAUGGUAUAUUAGAUGAAGUUCGGGGAACAAAUUAAGCAAAUUGAAGCUCAUGGAUGAAAUUGAAUAUUAGAUGAAAGUUCAAGGAACAAAUUGAGCAAAUUGAAAGCUUAGGGAUGAAAUUGAAUAUUAAAUGAAAGUUCAGGAACUAUUUGUGACAUUUUUUCUCAUGCAAUCAUAACUUCAGAAAAGGAGGAAAAAAAAAAGAUAUACUGAGAGAUUUCUAGUUUGAAGAGAACAUGUGGCCACCUGCUUUGAUGGGAGCCAAACAAGCCUUCUUUGGAGCGUUCCACUUUCAUCGACUCCAAUUUGGCCCCGGCUUGUAUCAUCCACACGAGAGGGAAAGUAAACUCUUUGGCUGAAGCAAAAGGUCAGGUGGACUUCUGUCAUUGGUUGAAUCGACAUCAUAAUUGAGUGAAAGUUUUCCAUCGAAAGGGAAUUAUAAUUAUCUUGUGAUGUACAUAAUAAUUGAGUGAAAGAAUAUUGUCAUUAUCUCAAGCAGAAUGGCCGGUCCAUGUUAUCCGUUAUCUCGUGGAAGCACGUUACCAUUAUCAUUGCCAUGAGGGGUGAUCAAUUUUAGGAUUGAUAAGUUUCAGAUCUAGAAUAUAGAACCUACCUUAUUAAAAUUGGUUCCUAGUUUUUAAGAUCCAAGAAUUAUUUUGUUUGUCCUAGAACCUACCUUAUUUUUCCGAUCCAAAUCUAGGGUUUAACCAGAUAACUAGUUUGUUUUUUUUUUAUUCAAUUUUUCUAAAAACCGAAACAAAUAGCAAUUACAACAAGAUAGUAUGAGUAACAAAACUGUUCAAAGUAAAAUAUCAUACAAAACAAAUAAAAAUAUAAAGUAAUGUGGAAGUUAUUUUAAUAAAGAUAAUUCAUCUUCUUCCAACUUCAUGAAACAACUUCUAAUCGCCGGUUCCAGAGUGGGUGGGUGGGUUCAGCACCUAGAACUUGAAGCUUAUCAAUGUAGUUCCUGUUCUAAAUUUUGAACUAGGAACUGGACCUGUUUCCAUGGUCGAUUGGUCCGAUUCUUGGGUAGAAUCGGACCGGUUGCAUAGCCCUAAUUGUCAUUAAAAUUCAUGGAAUGUUUAGUUCACGACUUCUUUUACGUUCUUGGGAUUUUGGAUACAUAUUGUUUAAUGUUGGUUAACAGUAUUACCUAGAGGGGUGAAUAGGUGAUUUCAAUAAAUUUGACAAAAUAUUGCAGAAUGAAGACAGUGAAGUUUGAUAUAUGCUAAACCGGGUGCAACAAAGUGUUGAUAUAAGCAAGAUCUGGUUACAUCAAGAAAUUUAGUGUAGUGCUACCAUCAAGCAAUAAAUGACCAUAGACAAGUAGAUAGAAAACUAAGCAAAAAAAGCUUAUAGUGGUUCGGCUUGGUGUAAGCCUAUGUCAAUUAUCAAUACUAACAUAUUACUGGCUAGAUUCUACUUGUCAAUUGUUGAGAAAUUAUAGUCGAAUGUGCUGCUUGUACUUAAGACUUCUUCUCGAAGCCGAUGCUACUUAUAUCCAAGCUUAUAGAUCUCAUAAUCUCACACCUACGAGCAAACUUUCACACUCCUAACAACUACAAUGUUAAAGCUCACAGAAUACAAUAGAAAAAAGAAUGUAAAGCUCUCUUGAAAUUUGGAAUUAUUAACUCUUGAUAAAUUUCUCUCUCUAACGCCUUGGGCUUCUUCUAUUCUCCUCAGUAUCAUCUUUCAAUUGGAUAAUCUUCAAGAGGAUCAAUCUUCAAUAUAGCCAUUGGACAACUAUUGAGAAGAUUAAGGUAGCCGUUGAGAUCAAUUAAUCAAAAUUUCCGUACACUUAGUCGCCCAUACAAUCAAAUCUUAGUUUCCAAAAGUGGAGUACUUCUGCUAAGGAAAGUAUCUUGCCUUCAAGAUGAAUGCGAUUGGUCAAGAUAUAUCACACAAUUUGACUUAUUCUGCGUAGAUAAUCAUUAGAUUGAUGGUCAAUCAAAAUCUUCUAAUUUAGGAAUCCAUAUAAGAUCAUAAGCUGUCAAAGCAUGAGAUGAAAUAUCUCUGAAAAGUGUGACAAAAUUAUCGUUUCAAGUAAUAUAAGUUGUCCACUUAUAUCCAUGGUCACUAGCUAUAUAGUGAAGUGACAUCAGGCUUUCACCGGGCUUCUGAUUAUAUUAAGUUAUCAUAGUACUAUGCUGAUAUCCAACUCUGAUUAUAUUUGGCUUCCCGAUUAUAUUCAACUAUUCUUCUCGGAACGCUUCAAGAGUGGUAGUGAUAUAGAUCCUGUAAACUUAACACCUUCGCAUUUCUAAGUUUAUAUAUAAACUCCCUAUAGGUUCUUCUAGUCAAUUAGAGUCUUUUUACUAAUCAUAUUAAAGGUCCUGUUGACACGGAUAUUACUUGAAACACAAACAACUCUUGCAUUUAUCAAGAUUAAUAUAAGUUAUGGAUAGUUUUGUCAACUCUAAAAUAUAUUAAGAGUUUUUAUCAACAAUGUCUUUGGAUAAAUAAGCAAGGAACCAUCUUAAUAUGUAUAUUUGCACAUUUUGACCCAAGAUUUGCUGCGUUGGGGAGCGAGAGUGGGUUUUGCGAAACAAUCGAUUUGAUUAGUUAGUUGAACUAAAUGUUCAACGUCAUGUGUUAAUGAAGUCUGCUGAUGUGGGUACCGACCUCAUAAAAUUAACGUCAGAUGGAGAAAAUUUUACAAGUUUCAUGUAUGUAGUUAUUCGCUUGAUCUAGAUGUACUCACUUUGGAUAGACUUUUUUCUUUUUCGGUUUAGCUACUAUAAACAGAAUUCUCAUCCACAUAACCUAAGCUACGACCAGCGAUUCUAGAAUUAUUUCAUAGAAACUCAAAAAAUGGCAAGAAGAACAAAAAAAACCUCUGCUUUUAACGGGCAUGGAGAAUUUACUUCAAAAAAUGGCAAGAAGAACAAAAAAAUAACGUUACUUAAAUUUUUUUUAGUUUCUCAUGGCUCUCACAAUUUAAAAUUUUUUAAUAUUAAACAUCUGAGAUCUAGGUCAACAUACUAGAAUGUCCUAUACAUGUACUAAUCAUUUUUCGAAGCUUAAAACACCUGGGGCAUGCAUGGUUGCACUUUUAUUUUUUGUUUAUGAACAGACUUUCUGUUUUUUUUUUGUUCCCGGGAACAAAAAAAGAACAGAAACGCGUUUGUUUGCAUUUUUGUUCUAAAUCUUUUUUUUAUUCCCAGGAACAAAUUUGUUCCAGAAACAAGAAACAAAAAAAACUUGUUUCUUGUUUCUGGAACAAUUUUUAAGAACAAAUUUUAUCUCUCCUUUCUUUUCUUCUCUUUUUUUUCUUCUUCUUUUCUCUUUGGCCGGUCGCCAACCUUGGCCAUGGCCGGCGACUAGCCGUCGAGGGCCGGCGAACUCAUCGGAGGAUUGCCAGCCCCCGAUGAGGUCGAGCGUCGCCGACCCCUGGCGAGGCUCGACCUCGCCUUGGUUAGGCGAGCUCAACUCGCCCAAAUUCGUCGAGGCCAAGCUUGCCCAACCACCAACAAGGCUCAGCAUUGUCGAGCCAUUGCUAGGUCAACGUCGCUUGGCAGUGGCCCAAUGAGGCUAAGCCUCGUCGGUGGCUGGGCGAGCUUGGCCUCGUUGGUGGCUAGGCAAGCUUGGCCUCAUCGAAUCUGAGCGAGGCCGAGCUCGCCCAACCAAGGUGAGGCAGAGCUUGCCUUGCCACCGGCGAGGCUCGACCUCACCAAGCCACCGCUAGGUGACUCGUGGCUGGGCAAGCUUGGCCUCACUGGAUCUAGGUGAGCCUCGCCCAACCACGGCGAGGCUCGGCCCCUCGGCGAGGCCGAGCCUCGCCGUGGUUGGGCGAGGCCAUCGGCCGAUCGCCGGCCAAAAAAAGAAAGAAAAGAAGGAAAAAUAAAAUAAAAAAAUAAAAAAAUAAAGAAAAAAAGGAAAAUUAAAAAAUUAAAAGAAACAAAAAGGAACACAAAUUUACCAAACAUAUUUCUAUUUUUUUAUUUCUGGAAUAAAUUUAUCAAAUGCGUUUUUCUAAUCAAAAAUUGUUCCUCAGAAAUAGAAAAAGAAAAUUCUAUUUAUGUUCCCUAAAGUACUUUUUGAACAAAAAUACAAAGAAACGUGCCCCUACUUGAUUUCAAAUUUUGCAAGGAAAUUGGUAAACCAUUUUAAGUACAAUUAAUUAAUCUAUUAAUUGAAGUGUUCUGAAAGUUUAUUUCUCUCCUAGGACAGAACGUGAAUCACGAACCACAAAAAUUGACAAAUGUGCAGGAACUCACCAACAAAUAUUCAAUCAGUCAAUUUUGAAUGAAGAGACAAGAGUUGUACAUCAAGUGUAGGACACCCAAGUGAUUCAACUUUCUGCCAAAAUCUUUUAGGACAGAACGUGAAUCACGAACCACAUAAUUUCCUGCAAGCUCAGAUAAUUGUGUGGGAACCUGAAGAAAAAGGGCAAAAGAAGAAAAUGAGUCCGUCUCAUAGGCAUCCGAUCCGUCAAUUUUGAAUGAAUAGCCGAGAGCUGUACAUCAAGUGUAGGACACCAACGUGACUCUUAACAUCCUGCCCAAAUCUUUUAGGACAGAACGUGAAUCGAGAACCACAUGAUUUCAUACAAGUUCAGAUAAUUGUGUGGGGACACGGACAUUGAAGUAAAAGGCACAAGAAGAAAUGAGUACGCGUGAUAGAGAUCCGAUCAGUCAAAUUUUGAAUGAAGAGACGGGAGCUGUACAUCAAGUGUAGGACGCCAAUGUGACUCAACUUUCUGCCAAAGUCUUUUAGGACAGAACGUGAAUCACGAACCACAUGAUUUCGUACAAGCUCCGAUAAUUGUGCAGGGACCUGAAGAAAAAGGGCAAAAUAAGAAAUGAGUUCGUGUGAUAGACAUCCGAUUGGUCAAAUUUUGAAUGAAGAGACGAGGGUUGUACAUCGAGUGUAGGACAAAAACGUGACUCUCAAUUUUUGCCAAAAUCUUCUAGGAGAGAACGUGAAUCACGAACUACGUGAUUUCGUGGAAGUUCAGAUAAUUAUGUGGGGACCUUGAAGAAAAAGGCCAAAAGAAGAAAAUGAGUCGGUGUAAGUUUAUUUCUCUACUGUCGGUAGAAUAAUUGACAAAUGUGCAGGAACUCACCAAAUGUGUUUUCAUGUAAGUUUAUUUCUCUAAUAUUGGUAGAAUAUGGCUCUGUUUAGUAACACUCUAAACGGUGUCUUAACUUUAUUUUUUUAUUCCUCAAAACAAAACAAAACAAAAAACAGAAAUUCAUUUGAAAUAAAUUUGAAACAAAAUCAAGAAAUAAAAAAAAAAAAUUACAUUCUUAUUUCUAAGAAUAAUUCCAGAAUCAAGCCAAUUUUUCUUUUUUUGUUCUCUUCUCUUUUCUUCUCUUUCUUAUUCUUCUUCUUCUUCUUCUUUUGCUUUUUGGCGGGUUGUCGGUUUUAGCCAUGGCCGGCGACCAGCCAAAUGAGGGCUGGUAACACUCCCUAAGGCUCGGGCCGCCGAGCCUCAUGCCUGCAACACUUUUGCAACUAGAGGAAGGAGAAGAUGAAAAGGGAAAAAGAAGAAAAAAAAGAAUAAGGAGAAAAUUUUAAUAAAAUUAUUAAAAGAUUAAAAGAAAAUUAUUUUGACUAAAAAUUUUAAAUAUUUUUUUAAACACAUUUCUAUUUCAGAAAUAAAAUUUUUAGACAGUUUACUAAGUGUCUUGAAAUGCUUAAAAAUUAUUUUUAAAAAUAAAUUUAAAAAUUAUCUCUGAGUAAAAAUCGUUUUUGGGAAUAAAUUGAUUACUAAACGGAUUCUAAUCUAUAAAUGUGCAUGGACUCAUCAACAGACAUCCGAUCAGUCAAUUUUGAAUGAAAAGACGAGCUGUACAUCAAGUGUAGGACAUCAAACUUUCCGCCAACGUCUUUUGGGACAGAAUAUGAAUCACGAACCACGUGAUUGCUUGCAAGUUCAGAUAAUUGUUUGGGGACCUUGAAGAAAAAAGGCAAAAGAAGAAAAUGAGUCAGGCUUAAGGAUUGUGGCAUUGCUUUUUUGGACGGUCACUUCUUGGCACAAAUUGCCUUGGUUGGACGCAGACAUGCCUUCAUGGAGUGUCCACCCGAUACUACCUCCGAUCUGGCUUUGGCUUUGUAUCAUCCAUGGGAAAGGGAAAGUGAACUCUUUGGCUAAAGCAAGCAUUUCCAUUUCUUUGGCUAAAGCAAACAUUUUGGUGAAAUGUUGUCAUUGCUUGCAUUAUUAUAUCACAAUUGGGUGAAAGGACAUUGUCAUCAUCUUGGUUGAAUAAAAACCAUGGCAUUUAGCUUCAUUCCAGAUCCGGGAAACAAAUGGAACAUCCAAGGCUUCAUCGUAUACUCGUUUCAGGUCUUUCGGAAGCUUUGGCUUCGAAUCAUUUAUGCUUUGGCUAACGACUUAAUUUGAACCAUGGUAUUAAUAGGGUGUAUGUGGACUCCGAAUUUUCCUUUCUAAGACAGACCUUCUCAUGAUGAGUAUUUUAAAUGCUAAGAUAAACUUUUCUAAGGUAGGAUUUUAAAUGUUUAGUAUUUAAUAGUAUUCUUUCUCAAAUUCACUUCAUGUUAAACAACUCAAAUGUCACAUUUGUCCUUGAGUAUGUGCAUCGUGAAUAUAAAACCCCACGGAGAUACAGAAGGGCCGCGCCACCAUCACUACCUUUAGAAUCUAUAUACGUUCAGGGAAAUAUUUCAAAAAGGGACCAAAGUACUUUCAUUUUCUCAAAUAAUGGCUCGAAGUGAAUCUUGUUUCAAAUAAGGACCUGAAGUGCCAUCACUUUCUCAAAUAAAGACCUGAAGUGAAUAUUCUUUCAAAUGAGGACUUGAAAUAGUUAUAUUAUUUCAAAUAAGGACCUGAUUUUUCUAACAGUCAAGAGUCUUUUCGUCAAUUGCCAUUUUCUAUAUUUUUUUUUUUCAAUUCUUCUUCGGCCGAUGCCCAUAGAGGGUUGGGUGAGGGUCGCCCUCGCCGGCAAGGGCCACUCACACUGGCUACAAUCGAGGGAUGACCUCGCCUGGGCGUGGCAACCCUCGCCUAAGUGCCAUUUACGAGGUCAGCCCUUGCUGGCCCCAGGCAUGAGGGUCAGCCUCACCCGCAGCCAGCGAGGGCUCUAGCAAGGAUGACCUUGCUCGCGGUCGGCAAGGGUUGGUAGACCCUCACCGGCCCUUACAAAUAGCCGCGAGUGAGGCCACCCCAUGGGGAGGGUCAGCCUUGCCUGGGGCAGGCAAGAGCCGACUCGCGAAUGGCCCCCGGGCAAGGCCGUCCCUCACUUGUGGCUAGCAUGGGUGGCCCUCGCUGAUGAGGGCGACCCUUGCCUGGCCCUCUAUAAGCAUCGCACUCGCCUAGCCCUCUAUAAGCAUGGGUGGCCGGUCGGCCACCGGCAAAGAGGAAGAAGAAAAAACUAGAAAAAAAAAAGGAAAAUGCCAAAUGGCGAAAAUACCCUUGAUCGAUCGGAAAAUUUAGUCGGCUGGUGACCAGUGAGGUCAGGUCCUUAUUUGAGACAACCAAAGUCACUUCAGGCUCUUAUUUGAAACAAUCAAGGCCACUUCAGGUCCUUGUUUAAAAUAAAGUCAACUUCAAAUCUUUAUUUGAGAAAAUAAAGGUACUUUUGGUUCUUUUUUGAAAUUUUCUGUAUGUUCAGAGUGCAAGGCUAAGUGUCCUCAUUUGAUUAGGAAGAAGGAAGAUUAAGCACUCUGAGCUUUCAUUGACUCGAUGAUAUGGUCUUUGUCCCAUAAUAUUAUUUUAUUUGAAGCAUGAUAUACGUUUUUAAGGAGUUAUUUACCCUCACAACAUUGCUAAUGGCAACUAACAAAAAUCUUCUAAAAUACAAUAAAAUCUCAAAUGAAAAUACCAUAUAGAAAUUCAAGUACAUCUCCAAAAACUCUCAAAAGAAAAUAAUUAAAAAGAAAGCUGUAUCUUUAUAAGGAAAACUCGACAAGACUUUUUUUUUUCCUUUUUGGUAAAGACUUGAUAAUCAUUAAGACCAAAAAAUGAACUUAUUUAUCAUAGCCUUUUUGAACACAAGCAAUCCUUUCAAAAAGGUUACAAAGUGAACAAAUAAGUCCCUAUGCAAAGUGAACAAAUAAGUCCUUAAAAGACACGUUGAAAAAUCAAAUGACGAUGAUAAUAAUAAUAUAAUAUUUUAUUUCAAAUUUCAUAAAUUCUGUAAAAUAUCAAUUGAACAAAUAGAACUCUUCAAAUGUCAUGACACGCCUAAUUAAAAUUAGCAAAAUAACCACACGAAAAGAAAUAAAUGAUUAUUGACACUAAUUAUGAUCGGGGAGCGUGUAAAGUACUAGUUGCGCACUCACAUGUAGGUAUUAUGGGGCCUAGCCCAGAGCCAAUUGUCUUAAUUUGAACAAGUUAGAAGACUUCCACACUUAUGGAAUGGCCUAAUUACUCCAAACUUUUCUAUGGGUGAUAAGGAAAAGUAAUAUUUUGUUUGUUUUACCCACAAAAAAAAAAAAAAACCAACAAUAUAGUUAUGCCCGGUAGUGCCCAAAUAUUAACUUGUAUGUAUUUAGACUAAAUUCUCUCUUAUUCCCACUGACUUAACUACACAUUCAUUAUGUUUGUGACUCUUUUGUUUGUCUAAUGCCAUAUGUUGGAGAAGACAGGGUGGAAGUUUGCAUGGCUAAGAAGCUAUAUGCAGAAACUCACCUAGCAAUAGCAAAGGAUGACACUGCAAGGAAGUAAUUAGAAUAAAGUUCUUGUGUCAUUAUUUUACUUGUCAACGUUGUCAUUAAUGAGAAUCAAGGAUUCAAUCCCAUUUGUGUCCGGUCAUACCAGUAAUUACACUUAGGCUAUACACAAAAAUUGGGUCUUAAUUACAUGUCCCCAUAUUUCUAUGCGGGUCCCAUUCACUAUACUUUUUCGAAAGAAGAAACUAUCAUUCAUAUAUUAGAUUUUGAAAAUCGGUUGAGCUAAAUGAUAUUGCUUGUAAAUAUGGGUAAGGAGAGUCGGAGACACCUCAAUGUCCUCAUUGUGAAUUAAUUAUAUCGAUGGUUGCUAGUGGUUUCGAGUAUUUAAUGGGGUUUGGAGUCUGAGAAAAAGCACAACUGACCACAACAAUGUAUGAACAAUGUACGUGUCCCGUGAUCCCGGAUUCAGGCUAAAAGUCUUGAGUCUUUGUCUGUAUUGUUGGACUUGGAGCUAUGCUUCAAUUUAUUUUACAGAGACCACAAACAAAUCUUUUUGUCAUUGUAUUCCCCAGGGCUCUAAAUUCAUUUAUUUAUCAAAACAUGUCACGUAAUUCACCAUUAAAAAAAAAAACUUAAUUUCGUUUCAUUAAGAAUACAGAAAAGUAGGGUCCCUUUUUCUAGAUGUUUUGCCCAAGCUCUCGUGAUGGCACGACCGUGAACGGUAUAAUAGACGAAGAGGAUGAAUAAAGGAAAAUUGAGAACCGGACAUUUUUUCUUAGCUCUUAAGAAGCACAAGGAGAGCGGGGAUAACAGUAAUGCUAGAAGAUGAUGAAGCAUUUUAUGAUGGGCAACAUCUACGGAUGGGCGUCUCUUCGCAUUUAUUUAUUUAUUUAUUUUUCGGAUCUAUAGAAUAAAUCGAAUAUCUCAAACUUUGUCAUACUGAACCUCCAAUUUCACGUCUUUUUUAUUCUAUUUGCGCCCCUUAGAAAGAAAACAGUGAAUUACCACAUUAUUUUCCUCUUGUGAUUGACCUAUUGAUGGCUACAAUUUUUCCAAAAUCAAAUUAAAUAUGUUGUGCGAUCAUUAUUUAAUCUGCCAAAUAUCAACAAUAAUAGCAAAUUUCAUGAACAAAACAUUUUUCUUACGUUACCUUUCCCAUUUAGUCAUUGUUGAUAGAUGAGAAGACAAGUUUAAUAUCAGAGCCUCAGUUUUACAACUGAUCUCUUUUCAUAAAUGAUAUUAUGGAAAUUGUUAGAGAAAAGAGACGGUUAUUACAUUAAAAAGAAUAGGUUUAGUUUCUCUCCCAAUGAAGGACGAGAAUAGGCUUAGUGACUUACAUUGAGACCACGAGGGCAAUGCAUGAUUUUCACUCAAUAAUAAUAAUGAAAAACGGAUAAAUAUAUAUGUAUGUAUGUAUGUAUUGGAUCGAUAAACUAAAUAUAAGAAACCGACUCGAUUUUCUAUGUCAUUUAAUGUUAAUAAUCCAUAUUUAUGGCACCGAUCCCUAAGGUCUUAGCCCUCGUCUUAUAUGAUUUAUUUAAGGAUGUUACAAAUUGAUGAGUCAGAAUUCGAUUAAAAUCCAUGUAGAAGAAUUUAGUUGGAUAAAUUCAAUGCUUAUCAGAUUAGACAGAAGAACUUGUCAUUAAACUUAGAUAGCACAUAAAACAAUUGUAUGAGUGAUCAUGUGACUAGAAAUUGUCUUUCUAUGUUCUUCUUUUUCGCUUGACGAUUGUUUUAGAGUGGAAAAGCACGUUAAGAAUGGAAUCCCCUCCUUGCCUCUCGUGGUUGGAUGGAGUCAACAAUUGACAGGGCACAACGACCGAUGUCUACAUUAGUUAGUCACCUGGCAAUUUCAUCGUCUGGUAAGGGGUUGCUAGUGUGAGACCUGAGAUUAUAACAAAAGAAUAAUGAUGAUCACUAUUAACAUGAUUUGCCUAUGGCAAGCGUGAGGAAGUAUGUUUUCUUGGGCACAUUGCUAAGAAUAUUUUACAUGAAUUGCCACAUCAUUAAGCUCGUUGACAUUGAUAUUCUUUCUUGUAUACAACUCAUCUUUAAAUACUCAGAUUGUCACAUUUUCCACUCAAUAUGUGUGAAUAUAAAACCCCAAGGAGAAGGAGAUGGCCCCUUUGAUAAAAGAGACGGAAUGGCAGUGCUUGUCUUCUUUAUCCUUUGAUAAAGAGGGACGUAUCCGGAUUGGAUUUGUGUUGUACCACAUAAUCAAUUACAUUGCAAUAAAUCACACUCCAAUAAAAUCAACUUUACUGAUGGGAAAAGAAAACUUAUAAUCUCAAAGGCAUAAUUUAACAUGAAAUUUUAAUAAUAGUGGGUAUCAAUUGAAAACUUACCAGCCAUCUAAAUAUAUGCAUUUCAAAGAUUAUCAUCAUAUUAAUAGGAGCUAAUACCACGAAAAAAAAUCCCAAGCUAAUACAUCUGUAAUAAAUUCACUUCAAACUAAUUUUCGGAUCAUCAAAAUUCUAAAUUGAUAUACUCGUAAUAAAUUUAUCGCAAAUUAAUUUUUAGGUUUCAAAGUCCCUAAAUUAAUAUACUUGUGACAUAUUUAUAUAAAUAAAAGUUGUAAGUGUUUUUUUGUUUACUUUCCCGUCAAAAAUUAUAAGAUUAGGUAAAUUUCAAAAAAUUAUGCAAAAAAUUACCAGUAACAUUUCGCUGUUUCACAAUUGUAUAAAACUCAAUUCUCCUUAAGCAAGGAUAUAAACUUACGAUGAAGUUACAAAAAAGAAUUUCCUUGCGAAUUCUCCUUCUCCGAGACCAAUGGUCAAACUUUUGAUUAAGCAAGGAUAUAAACUUAAUCGGGUGUCCGAAAAUCGAUGAAGUUAAGAGAUACUGCGUGUAGAUGUGGACCAAAGUCGGUUCCCCACGUGGGUCGAUUUUGUCCUCAUUAUGAAUUAAAUAUGUCGAUGGUGGUCCAGAGUAAACCAACGAGGUUUGAGAUUUGAGGAAAAGCACAGCCGACCAAAAGAAUGUAUGUGCGUCCUGUGUUCCAAGAUUCGGUCAGAUGAUGCAACUUCCACUCUUCACUAGAGAUUAUAGAUCUAUAUGAUAUAGAGAGGGAAUAGGCGAGAAAAUAUAAGAAAUUGCAUAUACUAUAUUGACGAAGCUUAUUCUGCAAAUGCAAUCUUAAGUUACAAAUUUUAUAUUAUUCCUAUAAUUUUUCAUUCUAUGAGAGCUAAUAUUGUCUAAAUAAAAAGGAAAAAAAAUUAAGGGAACCACUUCGGGCCGUAGAAAUUCAUAAUUUAGAAAUAUUAAAUAAAUAAAGAUACAAGGGGAUUUCUACGGCGGGAUACCUAUCAGCUGUGGUGGGAGAUACCUUUUUGGGGGGACAAGGACCCCUGGAGUGCCAAAAGUUGGCACAAAGGGACACUUAAGUGCCAAAAGUUACGAAAGGUACACUUAAGUGCCAAAAUCGGAGCAAAAUGGAUCACUUGAGUGCCAAUCCGGUCAAAAUCCGGCCAAAAUGCCGACGUGGCAUUUUUCCAGCGAACCGAACCCAAAACGACGCCGUUUUGCACGCUGACAUGGCCAAAUAAUGCAAAAACGACGUCGUUUUUGGCUCAUGUGAUAAAAAAAAAUAUAAAAAUUAAAUAAAUUAAAUUUAAAAAUAGAUUCAGUUAAAAUAUUAAAAAAUAAUAACUUUAAUAGUUAAAAUAUUAAAAAAAUAAUAAAUUUAAAAUUACAUUUACUUAUAAUUUUUUAAAAAAAAUUAAAAUUAAAUUUAGUUAAAAUAUUAAAAAAUAAUAAUUUUAAAAUAAAAAAAUUUUAAUUUUUUUUAAAAUAAUAAUUUUAAAAUUAGAUUUAGUUAAAAUAUUAAAAAAAUAAUUUUAAAAUGAAAUUUUGUUAAAAUAUUAAAAAAUAAAAAUUUUAAAAUUAGAUUUACUUAAAAAUUAAAAAAAUUUAAAAUUAAAUUUAGUUAAAUAUUAAAAAAAUAAAAAAAUUAUCAAAAGUUUAUAAAUUAAUAAAAGGGGGGGGGGGGGGCGAUGGCUGAGGGGAGCCUCAGCCACCACCCCCUUCUUUUAAUUUUUUUAAUUCUAAAAUUAUUAUUUUUUAAUAUUUUAAUUAAAUUUAAUUUUAAAAGGAUUAUUUUUUAAUAUUUUAAUUAAAUUUAAUUUUAAAAGUAUUAUUUUUUAAUAUUUUAACUAAAUCUAAUUUUAAAAUUUUUAUUAUUUUAAUUUGUUUUAAUUUGUUUUAUUUUUUAAAGUUAUUAUUUUUUAAUAUUUUAAUAAAUUAAUUUUAAAAUUAAUUUUUUAAAUUUUUUAACUAAAUCUAAUUUUAAAAUUAAUUUUUAAAAUUUUUUAACUAAAUCUAAUUUUAAUUUUUUUUGAAAUUUUUAACUAAAUCUAAUUUUAAAUUUUUUAAAUUUUUUUAAAUUUUUUAUUUUUGAAAUUAUUAUUAUUUAAUAUUUUAACUAAAUUUAAUUUUAAAUUUUUUUUUAUUUUUUAACUAAAUUUAAUUUUAAAUUUUUUAAAUUUAUUUUAAUUUUUAGUUUUUUAAAUUAUUAAUUUUUAAGAUGUUAACUAAAUUUUAUUUUAAAAUUAUUUUUUUAAAAUUUUUAACUAAAUCUAAUUUUAAAAUUAUUUUUUUUAAUUUUUAGUUUUUAAAAUUAUUAUUUUUAAUAUGUUAACUAAAUUUUAUUUUAAAAUUAUUUUUAAAAAUAUUUUAACUAAAUGUAAUUUUAAAAUUAUUAUUAUUUAAUAUUUUAACUAAAUUUAAUUUUAAAAUUAUUUUUUAAUAUUUUAACUAAAUGUAAUUUUAAAUUUUUUUUUAAUAUUUUAACUAUUAAAAUUAUUUUUUUUAAUAUUUUAACUAAAUCGAAUUUUAAAUUUAAUUUAUUUAAUUGUUAUAUUAUUNNNNNNNNNNNNNNNNNNNNNNNNNNNNNNNNNNNNNNNNNNNNNNNNNNNNNNNNNNNNNNNNNNNNNNNNNNNNNNNNNNNNNNNNNNNNNNNNNNNNAACGGCGUCGUUUUGGUUCACUUCGCCGGAAAUUCGUCGGAAAAAUGCCACGUCAGCCUUUUGGCCGGACUUUGGCCGGAGUGGCACUUAAGUGAUCCGUUUUUCUUCGAAUGUGACACUCAAAUGUACCUUUCGUAACUUUUGGCACUUAAGUGUCCCUUUGUGCCAACUUUUGGCACUUGAAGCGUUCUUAUCCCCCUUUUUGGGUAACUUUUGUCACGUGAAGCAAGACCAUAAUUGAUGUGUUUAACAAUAAAUAACCUAAUACCGUCUUCCAGUUUUGUGGACGCACGACCCAAAGUAAACAUUAAAUUUAAUCCAUUAGUAGUUAAACCACCUCAAAUUAGAUCUGUUUGGGGCUCCAUUUCUUUGCGAAAUGGAUAGUCCGUGAUUGCUUAACCUUUUAGGAUUUUUGCAUAAAUACUGUAUUCUAACAAGUAAAAGGAAUAAUCUCAACACACACAUACAUUCCCCACUAUUCCUCCUUUUACAUUUUGUUGUAGCCAAAAUUAUAUUAGAGAUGAGCAAUCACAUUCAAGCUCGGCAAAAAAUUCUGGUAUGUAACUCCAUUUCAGAUCUAUGGAAUAAAUGGAACAUACCGGGUUUUAUCAUACUAAGCCUCUCACUUCAAGCUUUUUUCAAGUUUGGCUUCAAAACGUUUAUGUCACGCUCCAAUCCUCCGAGCGUAUGCCCAUUCCGACUUGGUCAAUUAAAUAGCGACGUCCCAAGACGCAUUGCCGACUCAUUCAUCUUAAUACGCAUGCGGAAGCAAUUAAUAUAUCCCCAACAACAACAAGAUGAGAUAAAAAAGUAUGGCCAAUUUUUCACAAAAGAUGCAUUUUUAUAAACACACAGGUUUAUACACAUAAGCCUACAAAAAGGGAUCAGCUUUCAACAAAAGAGAAUUGUCUUAUGACUAACUAGUCGGACAUAUUCGCCGAUUCUUCGGGCUUCACCUCCUAAACUCCAAGCUCCGGGUCCUCCACCGCUGUCAACUAGGGACCUGAAAUGUUAUCCCACAACGGGGUGAGACGAUGUUUCAAUAAGUUCAACCCCCUAAGCCCUGACUAGGAAGAAAAUACGCCCUAAGGGCUGCCCAAGCACAAUCACGAGUCAGAGGACUUACAUGGCCUUAGUCCCUUCUUGUAAGUCAAUAUAAUUCACAAUUUCAUGAGAUCACCUCAUCACAUCAAAUUAUCACAAUAGAUCGAAUCAUCAAUCAAUUGACCUAGUCGAUUCCAUGUUAUUAGGACCAUCACACGAUUAACCCAAUCAGUACUAUCUAUAAGUCCGAUCUCAUCAAGAACUGCUCACCCUAAGCUGUAAAUAGGUAGUAUAGCUUACCUCAAAGGCUAAUAAAUAUGCUCUCUCUCUAAGCUAACAUAUCGAGCCAUCGAGCUGAUAUAAUAUACUAACAAUGCUCACCAAAGCUGUACGAUCCUUACUUGCUCACCGAAGCUAUGCGAAUCUUAAUUGCUCACCAAAGCUGUGUGAUACUUAGGAUACACUGUUCACUUUAAGUUGAGGUAUCAAGCCUGCAGGCUGAUACAGUAUACCAUUUUAAUCAACCAAUGAUUUCUCAACUUUUAUCAUACCUGAUAAAAAAUACUUGUGUGUGAAUAUACGGUCGACUUUAGCUAAAAUACAAUAUUGUCCUUUCCACAAAUCCCACUAUUUAAUAUGGUCCACCAAAAUAUUUUUGGCACUGUAAAUCUAUGCUCGGUUAUUUUCCAAUCAAUUACUAAAUUUAAUAGAUUUUUGGAUAAAUAUCCUAAAAUCACAAAUCACACUCAAUUUGCACAAAUUAGCAGUCAAAUAAAUAAAUCAAUCACAUCAUUUCAAUUAGCAUAAAAUUCCAAUCACCGGCUAUUCUGAUCCAAUUUCUAAAAAUUAAUUAAUUAAUUAAUUACGAAAAAUAAUUAUUAAAUACCAAAAAUGCAUACUUAGGCCUAUAAUGCCUAAUUAAAUGCCGAAAUGAGUUCGGAAAAUUUCCAAACAUAUUUAAAUAAAAACUAGAGCAUAAUUACUUACUAAUUAUACUAAUCUAACCACCUAACAUGCAUCAGAUUGACUAAUUCACUAAUCCAUUCUAACUAACCACCUAAUCCUAGCUUAACCUAAACUAAUCAACCAUUAAGCGUCAUUAACUUACUAAGCAUGAAUUAGUGAGUUAAAUUCACUUGAUUAAUGAUCCGCUCUGAUCAAAACGAUGAGGACACGGUAAGGAGCGACAAACUCCAAAGCAAGAUCACCAAGCGGGGUCGGGAAGGCCACCAAAACGGGCGAAACAAUGCUAGAAAUACCCACACUAUUCAGUUCUAGUCGGGGGGUGAGACAGAAGCGGCCGGUUGAGUAACGACUAAUGUCUUAGACAAAAAAAAAAAGACGACUAAUGUCUCCAUUACUUGGUUACCUAGCUCAAUUUUGAGAUAUUAUAAUGGGGUUGUUAGUGUGAAACCUUAGACCAUAUAACAAAAGAAUACAUCGAUGAAUUUUAGUGGUAAUGUGAAUGAUUAGUAUAUGGCAAGUGUGAGGAAGUAUGCAAAAUUGACCGAGCACAAUGAUUGAUGUCUACAUUAUUUGGUUACCUAACCCAAUUCGAGAUAUUAUAAAGGGGUCGUUCGUGUGAAACCUUAUACCAUAUAACAAAAGAAUACAUUGAUGAAUUUUAGUGGUGGUGUGAAUGAUUAGUCUAUGGCAAGUGUGAGGAAGUUUGCUUUUUGUGCACAUGAUUUGCCAUACCAUGUUAAACUCCUCAAUUGAAAAUGAAAUGGAUAUGGGGUAUUGAUUACUCUAAAUAAAUCUAACGUCUUUUCGGUAUAUUUUCUCUUUAUUUAAAAAUAUUGCAUAGAUAGUAUUGAUCAAUUUUAACUUAAGUCACUAACACACGAGAGGUGAUCAUGUAAAAGCAUAAUCAGAUAAUAUAACACUCAAUAAUCAAAGCAAUAAAUAAAUAAAUUGCUAGAAAUAGAGCAUACCUCAAUGCAAAGAAAAGCAUAACCAUAUUUAAUUUUUGCAAGAUGUUAAUAAAAAGAUAACGUGCAUAGCCUAAACACGACUUCUAAAUGCUUAUGCAAUUAAAUACUUCUUUUUGUAUUUAUUUUUAUUUUUAAAUUAUAAGAUGUAUUUAAUUUUAAAUUAUAACUAUGUGAUCUAAUUCAACAUAACAUGCGAUCUAAAUGUUCCAAUUCCAAUGACAAGUCAAAUUAAUAUGAACUAUUCCAAUAUGACAUGCAAUCUAAUUUAUGUGAGUCGAAAAAAUAACACGAAAAUUGUGAUUUGGCAACAUAAUGAUGUGGCAAAGGUGACAUGGCAUUUAAUGACCCUACAAGUGAUGACAUGGCAAUGAUGAUAUGGAACCGAUGCAACUAAUUCUACAUGAUAUAUGCAUAUUAUUUUUGUGAUUAUCUUUUAAAAUUAAAAUAAGAAACCAUGUAAAUAUGUAAUUACCUAAUUCAAACUAGGAAAUAAUUUAGAUUAGAUUCUAUUCUGAAUUAUGAAAUUUCCGAAAUUACUGCAUGGCUCCUAGACAUGUAAUCCAAAACAAGGAAAAAAUUUAUCCUAACACAUAAUGCAAUUUUUUAUUUUUAUUUUUUUAUAAUAUGAGAAUUUACUAAAUUAAUAACAUGCAAUAUAACAAAUCCACAUAAUCAAAUAUUCACCUCAAUCCAAACUAGGAAAUAAACAUAAUCACAAUAAUGAAAAAUCCUUAGCUCAAAUUCUUGAUUAUUAAGAUUUUCAAUAUCGAAACUUUUCUAAUCGGGGUAAGCCUAAAAAAUCUCAGACCAAGUUGAAGUUAGAAUUACAAUACGGUAAAUAUCACAAAAAAACCCAAACUAUAUUUACUAUGACAUAAAUUCCUUGAUACUCCAAAGACUCAAGCCUACUUCAUGAAAAAGGGAAAAUGGGCUUACUUAGAAAGAGUUGACCUAAACAUGGUCUUGCUCCAAAUGAAAGAGUUUGAAUCACAUGGCAAAGUCAAUGAGGAUAGCAAAAUUGGUGAAAAUAAAAAGCAAAAUGAAAGGUAUUUUUAAUAUCGAUCUACAAAAGCAAAUUUACUAAAUUAUGUGUCAGGUUGUGGGUAGACCUUCAAACAAUAACCAAGGGUAGUAUGACACAUCACUCAGUCUACUAUUUUUGUAGACCACUCUUAGUGAAAAAAAUAUAUUUAAGUUAAAAACACCUAUAAUAACUAAAAAAGUGAACCGUGAAGAACAUUACUAAUGGCACAUCAUAAAUUUAUAUAUGGGUAAUGUUCCUAACUUAUUACUCACUAAAUAAUGGUAUGGUUAGAGGUAUUUAUUAUGAUUACUUAUUAAUGCUUUUUUUUUUGGUGUGUUUCUUUUUUUAGUAGGCGUGCUUUUAAUAUAACAUGAACUUUAGGUUUCAUUUGUUCUACGAAAAAUGAACCUUCUUUAAAGUAUUUUUAAAAAAAAAAACUUAUUUUUAAGGAAAAUGACUACAUUUGGCAAUACGUUGCAAAUAAUAUGAAAAUCAUUUUCUGAUGUUUGUUAAAGAAAAAAUAUUAAACACUACGCACGGAACCGGGCCCGUUCAUGCCUAUUUCGGCAAAGUGAACGAACUUUGAAGGAUUACGCUACAAGAUCAGUUCAAUAAGCAAUAUUCAAAAUAUCAGAAAACUGAGAAUGCCCAUCCAUGUCUAUGCAACAUUCUGUUGUACAAACCUACAGAUUUGUCUAUAUCAUCAACUGCAAGCUACGAAUUGGUAUGCAGGAGAAAAUAUAUGUCCCAGGUGUUAGACAAACCAUUUUCCCUCAAAAGCUUGUGUAGUGAGGAGAUCGGCUAACAAUGCAUUUACAACAUAACACUAGUUACUACCGGAAUACAGAAUGAACGAAGAACGAGCAAAAAUGGUCAAUGCCCGAGUCUUAUUGAGAGUAAAAGGACCGUGCAUGAGGAACCAUUUCACUGACUCCCAAGUUUGUCCUCCUCCAUCCCAAACUCAACGUGCUGCUGUGUGGCUUUGGGACCGAUGUUUCAUCUUGCUUUACAUGAACUAUUUCUUGACUUGAAGAGAAAGAUGAAGAAGAAUCUAUUCUUGGUGCUGAUGGCUGAUAAAAAGUGGGAGCCUCAUAUGCAGCGGGUGAAAGCUCGGGCACAGGGACUUCUAGCUGAAGAAACCUGAUAACUUGUCCCGCUUUUGGCCUUCUCCUGGGAUCUGGAUGCACACACCACAGUCCCACCAUCAUCAAGCAUUCCAUUUCCUUCCUAUCGAAGCUUGAAUCCAGCGUCUGGUCCACUGCUUCGAGCAUAUUUCCAACAAGGUAAAGCUGCCAGACCCACUUGUACAGUGGGACAUGAAAUUCUCCAUCCUGAUAGGUCCUCCUACCGCAAGUGAUUUCUAGAACCACGACCCCAAAGCUGAACAUGUCGGACUCUCUAGUAGCCUUCCGUCCGUUGAAAUAUUCUGGUGCCAGAUAACCAUAUGUCCCCACCACAUCGGUUGUUUGAGUCCUGAAUCGGGGGUUAGAUACUCCAAAGUCACCGAGCUUAGUGUUGAAAUCUGUGUCUAGCAAUAUGUUGGCCGCUUUUAUAUCUCUGUGAAGAACACAUUGCUCUAGAUCUUCAUGAAGAUAAUUAAGGGCUGAUGCCAGCCCGAGAGCUAUCCUGUACCUUACAUCCCAAGGGAGAACUUUUCGAGUUCCAAAGAGAUGAUUAUCAAGGCUACCAUUAGGCAUGUAUUCAUAAACGAGCAAAAAUUCACCUUUCUCUUGACACCAUCCAAUGAAUUGUACAAGAUUUCGAUGUAUCGCACGGCUUAAUAUCUUCACUUCAUUGAUGAAGACCUUCUCGGAAUGUUUGGAUUCCAUGAAGAUUCUCUUGACAGCAACUUGGCGAUCUAAACUGUUCACAAGUCCUUUAUAAACAUGGCAAGACCCUCCUUGGCCGAGUCUUCGAUCCUGUGAGAAGCUACUUGUAGCUUCAACCAACUCUUGAUAUGAGAAUUUGAGCGGCAAUGCUCUUAUCUCUUUCUCCAAGUCGGUCAGAGCACAAUGCUCGCAUUUUUUCCUCAUUUUGAUCAUAAACAGGCAAGACCCCGCUGAAACAAUCAGCAUUAGACUUGCUAAAGGGGCAGUGAUAAAUGUGAACAACCUAUAGAUUUUGUAGUGUGCCCACUUUACAGGUGAAUUGGUCGACGGGGGGCGUACAGCAUCCAAGUCCGAAGUAAACCCCCAUGAAUUGAUGAUGUGCCUCUCCCCAGCGCCGCCAUAAGAAGCUGAAAU